CUACAAAAACUUGACCCACAAAAGCUUGACCCACAAAAGUUUCACUUACAAAAGCUUGACCCACAAAAGCUUAACCCACAAAAACUUCACCUACAAAAGCUUCACCCACAAAAACUUCACCCACAAAAGCUUGACCCACAAAAGCUUUACCUACAAAGCUUCAACACAAAAGCUUCACCUACAAAAGCUUCACACUAUCUUGAUCAAGAUAGUGUGAAGCAAAAUCAAUUCAUGGUGCCCAAAAAAGCUUCAACCUCAAAGUUUCACCUACAAACUUCAACACCAAAGCUUCAACUACAAAGCUUUAAUAUAUAUAUAUUUUUUUUUUUUUGAAAUUCGAAAAUUCGAAAAAAAAAAUCGAAAAAAAAAUUACCUAGGCUUCAUCUUCUUUGGGCCUAACAAUUUUCAUAACAAAUAUAUAUGAAGAAGGAGUUUUGGGCUACCACUUAGAAAGGAAAUGCCUCAUUCGUCAACUCCCUCGACCAGAGACCUGGGGGACUCCUACCAUAUGCUACUGCACCUUGAUACUCGAAAGUCUCAUGACCACUCAGUGACUUGGAUUUUUCAAGUCUCCAAACGAGAAGUUUUCCUCACUCGGGAAAUUAAGGGAGCAUUACCUCAACCUACAUGCUUCACUCACAAAGCUUCACCAUACAAGCUUCAACAAAAGGAAAAAUUCAAAGAACUUAGUGAAGAAGGCCUUGGUGUAUUUAACACAAUACGUUGAAAUGAAGCAAAGCUUGUUUAUUGAUAUCUCCGAUAAGUUACAAAUAUGUACAUAUACAUGAAUCAAAAUAAACAAACAAGAGGGAGCCUUCACAAAUGUUACUCAGGAGAAGUCUCAGCAGUCGGUAGAGCCCCAGAAAGAGGAGGCACCAGAGGGUGAUUAUUCAGAACCUCAGUACUAGGUAGAACCCCAGAAAGAGGAGCCACCAAAGGUUGAUCAUUUAGAGCUUCAUUACGUGGUAUAGCCCCAUAAGACGAAGGCAAUAAAUGCCUUUGGAACAAACCCACAAACCUUUGAUGAUCAAGUAAAAUCUGACCAUCAGAUUCCUGCAGCUGGUUGAGCUUCCUCUUCAUGUUUGUAGCAUAGUCAUGUGCGAGCCUGUGCAACUGUUUAUUCUCAUGCUUGAGCCCUCUGAUCUCAUGUUUGAGACUUGUCACUUCAUCUGCCAAUGAUUCAACUUUGCGGGUUCGAGCAAAUAGGCGUUGGGCCAUAUUAGACACAGAACCUGCACACUGAACACUGAGAGCCAGAUAAUCCUUAACAGCCAACUCAUCAGACCGUUUGGAAAGUAGUCUGUUAUCUUUGGGAGUGAGAAGGUUCCUGGCCACCACCGCAGCGGUCAUAUCAUUCUUCAUCACAGAGUCCCAACGGUAAGAGGACCAGUAGGGGAUAAAAAGGAUGGGCGCCAUAUGUUGUCUUGAGAAGGCAUGACUGCCUCUUCACCAAAGUUUAAGUCAAAACGACGGUCGGAUAGGCCAGACAUUCUCAGAAAUGAUGAAGAAGAAAUGAGGUGCAGUAAAUCUCUGAAAUAAGGGAAAAAUUCCUACAAGCAAUAACUCUCUGAAUGUACUCCUUGCACACAAUUGGUGCCUUUAGAAAAGAAAGGGCAAUAGGGUCGUUGGUUCAAAAAUCGAAAAGGCACCACUUUCUGGAUUUCGAAGAGGCACCACUCUCCGGAUUUCGAAGAGGCACCACUUUCCACACGCAACAUCAACUCAUCGGGUACCACAGAUAACUUUGCCAAAGAUCUCUAACAAAGUUUAGACACAUAAAUUUUGAAGAUCCAGCUACCCUACUAUUACCCAUAAGGGUAAAGGAACAACACCACUGCUUGAUAACUAGAAAGUCCUAAUGUAUGUCAACCUCCGUGCUUCGUGGCAAGGCAGACUAGCAAAAAUGCCCAAUCUUUACUCACAUUCGAGAAAAUAAUCCCAACAGGAUUACUUUCUCAAAAAUCGAAGAGACACUGCUCUCCGAAUCUCAAGAGUCAGACUCCCAACAUGAUUGCUUUCUCAAAAAUCGAAGAGACACCGUUCUCUGAAUCUCGAGAGCCAGAUCCCCGACAGGAUUGCUUGUUCGAAAAUCGAAGAGGCACCGCUCUCUGAACUUUGAGAGCCAGAUUUCCUUGGAUAGAGCUUGUAUGCAAUCUUCACACACAAUAUCAGCUUUCCAGAUACCACAGACAACUUUUUCAAAGCGCUCUGACAAAGUUAAAACAUGUGAAGCUUGCAGCUCCCACUACAUUGCUAUGACCAAUAAGGGUAAAGGAAUAACAUUAUUACUUGCUCAAAAAUCGAAAAGGUACCGCCCUCCGAAUCUCGAGAGCCAGACUCCCAACAGGAUUACUUUCUCAAAAAUCGAAGAGGCACCGCUCUCUGAAUCUCAAGAGUCAGACUCCCAACAUGAUUGCUUUCUAAAAAAUUGAAGAGGCACCGCUUUCCGAAUCUCGAGAGCCAGAUCCCUGACAGGAUUGCUUGUUCGAAAACCGAAGAGGCAUCGCUCUCUGAACUUUGAGAGCCAGAUUUCCUUGGAUAAAGCUUGUCUGCAAUCUUCACACGCAACAUCAGUUUUCCAGAUACCACAUGCCACUUUUUCAAAGUGCUCUGACAAAGUUGAAACACGUGAAGCUUGCAGCUCUCACUACAUUGCUACGACCAAGAAGGGUAAAAGAAUAGCACUACUACUUGUUGUUAGGGAGACUUCUAUAUAUGUCGACCUCCAUCCUCCACAGCCAGGCAAACCUGCAAAUAAAAAAAAAUGCUCAACUUUUCUUCACAUCCUAGAGGGCACUCUCAGCAGAGUCUCUCGAAAUACUCAGCUUCUUUCCUCCCGAUAAUACCUCUGCAAACAAGCCACACCAGAGCAAUGGUAUCCUAUAUUAUCAGGGUUAAAAGCAAGAGUAUCCCAUAUCAAGCUUUUUCCCUGUCUUUUCCUUUGGCCUUGUUCUUACCUGCAAGACAAGGAGAAAAAGAGCAAUCAGUCAACACUUGGAAUCAAGCUUCCAGUCAGGAACUGACUGCCUGGAACCUUUUGCUUGAUUACUUACCUAACAUUGCUCUUGAGUACUCAUCUUCAACAUCUUAUGCUUCUAGAGAAGAUACCACAUCUGUCUGAGGAACAGAUGGGGCAAGUGAGAAGGAUACAAGGAAACAUGUGGAGACAAGCGUAACAGAACACGUGUCGAUACAUCCACUACUUUGUCAACAGCAAAAGUAUCCCAUAUCAUUAGGGUCGAACGUACUUUAGAUUUGAUGGACUUGUUUUGACCCUUAAAUUCUUGAGUCGGCCUUAUACUCUGGAGGGAACCAGAAAACCCUCCAGCCCAGUUCAAGAAUAAGCCUGUGGAAAGUUACUUCUUCAAAAGCAAAAGUAUCUCAUAUCAUAUCUUCUCCAUUUGCUUCUCCUUAUCCUUGGUGCUAUUUACGACACAAUGAGAAUGAGAACAAUCAACCGAAUGCCGAAAUCGAACCUCCGAUCCAGGUUGCUUGCUUGGAAGUCUGAUUGCUUACCUUGUCUGUUACCUCAUUCGGCAAAUCUCCUAGCUCGGCGACUUGGGGGACUCCUACUAUAGGGUUUGUAUCACACUUGACCAAGCCCGAAACUACAAGUAAGCUUCAAGUGAAAUUGAUACAUUACCUUGUGCAUCUUCAUCGGUUAAAGAUACCACCCCUGGAUGGAGGAAAAGUACUUCCAGAGAAGAUGCCACAUCUACAUAUGAGACAGAUAAAGCAAGUAAAAAUGAUACCACACUUCGGUACUUAGAAGUUUCGUGAUUACUCAAUGGCUUGGAUCUUGCAAGUCCCCAACCAAGGAGUUUCCCUCACUCGGAAACUUAGGGGAGCACUGUUUGUACCAUACUUGACCAAUCCCGAAACUACUGAGCACCGGUCAACGUUAUACCAUCAAUGACCCAGAAGAGUUUCCCUCCAACCAUGAGGCCAAUCAUAGCGCGACACGUGUCGACAUCAGAAGCCAAUCAUAUCGCGACACGUGUCAACAUCAGAAGCCAAUCACAACACGACACGUGUCAAUGUCAGAAUGAAACUAGAAACUCUCUUCUAUAAAUAGAGAUCAUUCUCUCACAAUAUUUCCUAAUGUCAUUUGUACUAAAUCAUUCACUAGUACUCACUAAAGGAGAGCUUGAACCUAUGUACUUGUGUAAACCCUUCACAAUUAAUGAGAACUCAUCUACUCCGUUGACGUAGCCAAUCUGGGUGAACCACGUACAUCUUGUGUUUGCUUCUCUGUCCCUAUCCAUUUACAUACUUAUUUACACUAGUGACCGGAGCAAUCUAACGAAGGUCACAAAAACAUUUUCUGUUGUACCAAAGUCUUCACUGAUUUUGUGCAUCAACAAAAUAUAUUAGGAUAAAUGAAAUGAAAAUGAAAUUUAUAAUGAAAUAAAAUUAAUACAUUAAAAUUUAAGAAGAAAAAGAGAAAUAAUUAAAAAAAAUCAAAAUAUAAUUAAUAAAUGAGGUUAUUAAUGUAUCAAGUGUCACAUCCCACCUCGAGCCCCCACUACAUCCUGGGCUCGACUCCACCGUAACACUAUGCUUUGGGCCCCGACCACGCUCUCACGGUUUUGUUUUUGGGAAUUCACACGAGAACUUCCUAGUAGAUCAUCCAUCCUGGGAUCGCUCUCGCGCGAACUUGCUUAACUUCAGAGUUCCGAUAAAACCUGAAACCAAAAGUUCCCAAAAGGUCUCAUGCUAGGUAGAGAUAAGAAUAUACACAUAAUGAUUACAUAAUCCACUCCCCUGGGAGAUGUGAGAUGUUACAUCAAAGGACUAAAAUUAAAUUUUGAUCUUACUCAUGGUUUUAAUCUAAAAGUCAUCUUUGCCAAGGAUUAAAAUGAAGUUUUCUAUUCAUAAUUUAUAGAAUAAAUAAUAAUACAAAUUACAAUUGUCCACAAUGCGUUUUUCAUAUUUUGAAAACGCUGCAUUAUAAUUUCAUUUUCAAUGGAAGAAAAAACAUUGCUCUCAAUAUAAAUUAUCACGAUAUCACUCAAUCAUUGAUCUCUCAUUUGGUUACAAUGAAUUUUCACAAUUUUCAAAGUGAAAAAGGCUCUUUCUGCUGAAGCAAUAGCAAUCAGUAGAAUCAAAGUCAAUAUAUUAGCAAUACACAUAAUAUACUCUAUUCCUCCCCAUUUUUUUUGCAAGACUACCGAUUUCUUUCAAUUAAGAAAAUUAACUAUUUAAAAGCAUAUCAAGAAUAUAAUGCUUAAGUUGAUAUUUUUUUUUUUUUUUUAAAUUUGAGAACGAGAACUCCUGUUUGAGGCAUCAAACAAUUGGAGGUCAUGUAUGAAAGACAACUCUAACCUUCAAGGGAUAACACUCAAGUCAUCUAUAGAGAUCAUCAGAAUUUGUAGGUCAACUAAACCCACUUGCUUCAUAAUGGAUCCGUCAAUAAAUAUUUGAUACAUCAAAUAUCAUAAUAUAAAUAAUUUAAUAUAAAAAAAUAUUUAACUAUUUAUGUUAUAAUACUCUGUAUGUCAAGCCGUUUUUUCGACAUGCUUAAAAAUUUAUGUGAGGCUGGGUCAGCUCGAUAAAAGCCUGACUCGGCGAGCGUGACCCAAUGCGCACCACUUUCAUAGCUGGCAUUUAGGAUAAGGUUAAAUGGGACACUUGAGCCACGCUUUUACCAAAUCACCAUAAACCUUUUCACUUUUUAUCAAUAUUGCCCCUUUUAUAGGGGUUUUUUUUUUCUUUUGUUUUUUUCCUUCAAUUGAUUGUAUGUUUAUUAUUAAGAAUAAGUGCAAAGUAUUGACAUUUUAUUCCCUUAAUCUCUAAUUCAGAUGCUUAACAGGGAAGUUACCUAAGAUGAUAUCUUGUAUUGUUUUUUAUUCGAUAUUAAUACCUUAGUUUCUCAACUAGGGGAGGUGAAGUUUCUGUUUAUUCAAUGCAGUGCAACAUUGUUGCGCACGAGGUGUCUUCACAUGGUGCUUGCAUGGUGGUUCUUUCUUAUAGGAUGCUCUUGACCCAUAAUUUGUUUUUAAUAUUCUCGCAUAAGAUGUAAACAUUCCAAUUAAAAUUUAGUAAAGUCUAUCCUUUAACAACAAAAAAACAAAAGAAAUGAUUAUGUAUCAUUUUUUUUAUUUCAAGUAAACAUCAUAACACGCGAGAUUUUGCAUGCAAUGAGAUACAAUAAAUAUUCAUAUAAUAAGUAAUUACAUACUGCCGUUGAGAUGCUAAUCGCACUGACAAUAUUUGAAUUAUUGUCUUUCUAAUAUAAUUAGUUUUAUGUGAUAUAUAAAACAAUAAAUGUUUUUUUUUUUUUUUUUUUUUUUUUUAGCGUUUGCAUUUAGAACAUAGAAAAGGACUAAUGCGCAUGCGCUUGUAUUUUUGUAUAGGCAAACAUAUGGUACCGUUGAAUAACAUGAGCUAAAAUUUAGAAACUUGUUUAAAAUGAUGAUUUUGGAAUGGGCACGCGUGUUAGAUCACUUUUGAUCUUGAUAAUAUUUUUAUGUCUUUGUACUCAGAUUCAUUUUGCUUUUUAAUUACAAAAGUUUUUUACAUGAAAAACAAGUAAUGCAAUGAAUGAUAUAGACAGAUAAGGACACCCGAUCUUUAUCUGUAAUUGCACCACAUCAUCAAAUUCUAGAGUCUUAAAAAGGCUAACAAAUACUUCCAUUUCAGGGUAAUUUUGGAAAAGAAAAUGUUCUAGAAUAUGGUUUCGGACGUCGCUUCACACAAUUUUAACUACGUUUGGUAAAAUUUCCCCCAAAAGCAAUGGCAUGCAUGUAAUUAUACCCAAGACGAGGUGCUGUUGUUGUUCAAAAUCAAAGUGGAUAAAAUCAAGCAGACAAGGAUUUCCUCCAACUUUCCCCCCCACUGCCCGAGUACGGAUCCAUCGACACGUGGAGCACUAAAAAUGUCCCCAGCUGGGGGCCACCACAACGAUCUUACCCCGCGCGGGACCCGCGGCCACCAACGCCACCACCAUCCUUAGGCAGCCGUCCACGUCGGCCAACCUCCCCCGAACCGACAGGGAGCACACUCUCGUGACACGCGUAUGUCACGUCAUUUCUAAGUCAAACAAGUGGAAGUCUCCGUGGGCCCGGGUUUAUCCAGACGCCGCGUUUCGUGGGGAGUUUAAAAGAACGGGUUCGGCUUGGUGGGGCGGGAGCUUCUCUCCCAAUCCGAAACCACAAUAGAAGCAUUUUUGCUCACUGUCAUUCAAUGUAAUAUAUGCUUACCAUCCUAUUUAUCAUUAUUAGAUAAGUUUGAAUUUUAAAAUUUAUGUAGUAGAUAAACACAAAUAUUAAACUUCAAAUUCAUCUAAAAAUAAUAAAUAAGAUAAUGAACAAAAAUGCACUCAACCACAAUGGGCCGUGGAUCCACGGGCCAGGUCCACCUACCCGACGUUGAAUGUUCCAGACGUGUCUUUCACGCUAUUGGAUUCCAAAACCCUUAAACAAAUAAUCUCCUUUUUCCUUUUAUUUUAUAUGUUUUUUUAUUUUAUAUAUAUAUAUAUAUAUAUAUUUAUAAAUACUAUUUUUUAUACUUAAAAAAUAUAUAUAUUUGUAUUUUCUUGGCGUCGAUGGUAGAGAGAAGUUGCGUCCAGGCUUUUUAUUUUUUAUUUUUUUAAUUGUCUGUCGUGAGUUGUGUGAUUGGUUUAUCCACAACGGUUUUUCUAUUUUCUUUAAUUAAUUUUUUUUGUGAAGUAUUUAAUGUGUAUAUGAAGCAUGGUGUAAAAUGUAAUAAUAACAUUUCUCUCCCGACAGAGUGAUUAACGAUGGAAGUUAAGGUGAUCCACCAUGUUGAGGGCAAUGUAUUAAAUAUCGAUGAUAUUGGAAAUAUCGGUAGUUAAAAAACACGGAAAUUUCGAUGAAAAUAUCGGGAUAUUAUCGAUAUCGAAAAAAAUUGAAUAAAAACCACGGAAAUUGUAAGAAAAACUUGGAAAUUUUUAUUGAAACUUUGCAGGAUGUUUAUUUAGUCAAUUAUCUAUUAGUUUAUCACAAAAAAUUGGAAGGAAAUGCAUUGCAUGAUAGAUAUAACUGAUUUAAGUUGGUUAUAUAGCGAGCUGGCAAAUAUUGUGAGUGUAGAAAAUAUGUAGUAAUUAAUGAAAGAAGUUUAAACACACCAUAAUCAUUUAUAUAUAAUGAAUUAGUACAAUAUUUUACAUUUUAUACAUUGCAUGAUAAGAUACAUGAGUGACUUAGCAAGGUCUAAAAUAUCGAUGAUAUCGGAAAUAUUUGGUAGUCCAAAAAUACAGAAAUUUCGAUGAAAAUAUCGGGAUAUUAUGGAUAUUUUAGACCAUGGUUGAGGGACAUGUUGAAACAAACGAGUUAAAAAGUCGGGGGCGUUAGGAAAUCCAACGGCUUUCCAUUCCCCACCGUCCCUGCCGUUGAAAAGCAACGGCUGCGUUGCUGCAACAGGGCCACCAUUGUUGGCCAUUCUCCUUUCGUCGCUCGUGUAUUACACACACUUGAUAGAAAAAUAAUAAAAUAGUGGCUCACGUCAAUCUAUCGUUGGCACAUGCACGAACUUGAGAAGUAUGGGCUUUUGAGCGGAAUGUUGGAGAGGGUUUUUUUGGGCUAAACGACAACGUUGUUGCCCUUACCCUUACCUUUAACAUUAUAUAUAUUUAAUUUUAUCAAUUUUUGAUGUGUUGUAUUCUUCAGAAACUUCUAUACAGCUCUCCAAAAGAGCACAGACCCACCUGCAAUUUCAAAUGCUUUGGUUUUUAAUUUGGCCCAACUGAAAGGAAUACCCUUAAAAAAUAGUUUCCAAGGGCUUCUAGCCAACAUCAGUAACUGGCACUUAAAAGUGCAAUGUGAACAGGCCUGCUUAUCAAUGACCCACUUACUGGCCCAACACAUGCGUCGUUGAGUGUCAGCAAUUGCAUACAACUAUUUCUAAUCACGUAACUAGCCAUGAAAUAAAGAGAUGUAGACACGGUUGUGCAACAGAUCUUGCAGUUGAAAAUAACCACCUAAAUUUAGCGUCUCGCAUAUCUAGAUGUUGCCAAAUUGACUAGAACAAUAUACUCUCCACUCUACAUCCCAGUUCGAACCCCCUAUUGUACUAGUUCAAAUUAGAUUAGAAUCUCGCUCGAACAAAACAAAAGAGAUUAUAGUGUGGGAAAUUUGGGUUAUCUAUAUUAUAUAUGACACUAUUCUCGUUGUCCUGCUGAACAAUUUCUUUAUCUGAGACCCAAAAAAAAAAAAAGCACCAGUUCAUCCUCUCACGUCACAAAACCAAAAUGGAGGAUGACUGAAUUUCUGGAUAUCCUUUGCAACCUGUCGCGUUACAAGAUGUACAAUUUGCCCUAUAAAUUCGUCGUGUAAUCUGAAUCAUACAUGGUAAAUCAUCCCUACCUCCAGCGCAGACGCAUGCGGUACACUGAGUGCAUAACUGGAUGUCCUGCUAUUCCUUCUCAAGAAUUCAUAUCCGUAGUUGAUUGCAAAGCUUCGCAUGAAACUAGAUCCUUUCUUUGCAUUCGUGUAUGUGUUCCCAACUAUGUACACUAUUCCAGCUUCCCGAGCUUCCAUUAGCUCCUGCAGUUCCUCCCUUGUGCCCGUGUUGAUCUUUGGACUCUCCGGAACAAUGAAUCUUACCUUCUUCCUUCGUUGAGCCACUGGCGGAGAUCUUAUUUCUAUCUGCCCUGAUGGGCUCAUUUCCACGUUGAUGUUCUCGCUCAUCUGAAUCCCAUCUGCAUGAGUGGAGCGUGUGCCAACGACCGUCAUUUUAUCAUCUUCCUUGCCCGCAUCUUCAGCUGCAACAGAGAAUUCAGUGCUUCCUGAGCGUAUGAACUCUGCUAUGCUGCACAUAAGAUCAUUCUCAAACUCCAUGUCAUCUUUGUGAACAUCGCGAUAUCCAUAUCUCACAAUGCACCUAUAGAGCCGAUACUCCUUUGGGCCAAUUUGACCCACCAGAAACCGUUCCUCGGGUCUAACAUGGGGGACUGGGACGGAUUUGAUGCAGAGGAAAACUAGGACCUGGUGGAAGGCCGGAAGGUUGGUGACAAAGUGGGAGAAGAUUGCUGGAAUUCCGGAUACAAGAUCGGUGUGUAUGAGGCCAAUCCCACGGACUCGUACAAUGCCAAGGCUGGGGCCAAGGCUAAGCAGCCAGUUAAUGGAGACCUUGUUUUGGACUUCAAACUCAUACUUUUUAAUUGUGCCGUAGUGCCAAACGUACAUGACGAAGAAAAAACAGAGAGCAAGAGCAACGGGAACCCAGGCUCCCUCAGGAAACUUUACAAGAGAAGCCGAGAAGUAAAGAGCUUCAAUUGUGCCGAAAAAGACCACGAAGCCAAUUGCAACAAAGACACUCUGCUGCCAGCAUAGGACAAUAACUAGGGACAUUAAGCACGUGGUGACCAGCAUCACCGAGAUAACUGCAAACCCUGUUCGACAUGAAGCUUUAGGUUAAGUAACUUCCACACGAAGGCAUCAACAUAUAGGGAUAGCGAAAAGUUAAAAUCCAGCUGAUAGAUGCAGAAGUAUUAGGGUUUAGGGUUUACUAAUUUCUAAAAUGGAAUAUCAAACAUUAAUGGUUUUUUCAAAUUUGUAAACGAUGCCAUACCUGAAGCAUUACCCAUGCGCUUUGUGUCUCUAAAACCAAUAGUAACAGCCAAACACAACACCAUCAAGAUCCAAUUGAUUUCCGGGAUAUAAACUUGACCAUGGAUUUUGGAUGAUGUAUGGACUAUUUUGACUCUUGGGAAGCAAUCCAGGGCAGAACAUUGCUUGAUGAUUGAGAAAGUUCCAGUGAUGAUAGCUUGGCUUCCUACUACGGCAGCAAGUACAGCUAUUACCAGAACGGGCCAUCUCAAAUUUUCUGAGGAGUGGCGGGGUUUGCUAGAUUAGCUAAGAAGUUGCAUAUUUUUCAAAUCUAGAAUCUUCCUGCUAAACAAAUGAAGGUGUCUACCUGGUACAGAUGGGUAAAAUCCAAUCUGAGAAUUUUUCCCAACAUUGUGAUGUGAAGAUAUGUAGGCAGCUUGUCCCAUAUAUGCUAGAACCAAAGCUGGAUAAACCAAAGAGGUGAACGCAAUCUGCAAAAAUGUGAAUAUUUACCAGGAAAGUAAUCGUUUUGCUAAUUGUACCAGGCUGAAUAAGUGCGGACUGUGUGCUAAAGUUUUACUACUGAAGUGCCGAACCACAUUUAUACAAUCAUUAUCAGUACUGCCAUAUCAACUCUUUUCGGAUAGUGUAACAAGCCGUGCAAAAAUAAGAUACCUGAAUGGACAAUUGUGUAAAGUGUCCAAGAUCAGCAAACAUGGCUUCUGAACCUGGAAAAGUUAAGUUGUGCAUUAGAGAAACAGGUAAACCACUUUGCUUCCGAGGAAAUAUAUACGUGAGUCAAUCCUAUACAUGCAUACUUACCUGUUAUACACAACAUAAUUCCGCCGAGGGACAUCCAGCCCCCUUUCUGAGUUUUCCUUAAAAAUUUGUACAUAUAGUAUGGAGAAAGUGCUUUGUACACACUCGGAUUGAAGUGAAGUAUAUUAUAAACACCGAUCGCACUGAUGCAUAGAAGCCAUAUCAGAACUAUAGGAGCAAACAAGAACCCGACCCUGUGAGUUCCAUAAUGUUGAAGUGCAAACAGGCCAAUCAAAAUGAUGCAUGCAAUUGGAACUUCUACAUCUGCAUAAAGAUUAUCAAAAUUUCAGGAGGAAGUAUAAGGCAAAGCAUUGAUCUUUAUACACCAGAGUGAAAUCAAACUGUCCACUCAAUUACACAACGAGAUUUAUGGAGGCCGACAAUUAAGGAAAAAAAAAACCUUAUCGCGUUAAGGACCAACAAUACCAGACAACUAAAGUAUGGAUAAGUCACAAUUAACUUGAAGUACAAGGAAAUUAUGAUUGGUAAAAGAUGAAAUGCACCGUGGAAUUCCGGAAAGAGGAAAACAGCCGGUGUAUUAAGGUGCAAAACUCGGUUAUUCAAUUUUACUCUUAUGAAUCCGACGAAACAAGUUGGAACAAACCGGACCAAUUUACGGCUUCAAGCCCAAAAACUCCGAAGAAAAAAAGUUCACUAAAUAAGAAAUCUCUACUUGUAUCGAAGCUCAAAACAAACUGCUAAAGCUUCAAAAGUGAUUGUGCUAUAAAAAGUUCUCUUACAUUUGUGAUGCUUUUCGGACAUGGAAAGCUCAAGCCCUGAAACCGCAGAAAAAACUGCAGCGAUUUAAAGCAAAAUUCCAGUUAGUCUCUAAAGAAAAACACACAAAAUUCCAACUUUCACUCCAAAAAACCCAAAAGCAAUAAACUAAAAGGGAAACUGGCUAGAAAUGAUCAGAAGUCAAAUCCUAAUUGUAGAAUUGAUCAAAAUUAAACAUCGACGACAUAUCAAUUGACGUUAUAGCGAUCAGAUAUCGAUGACAUACUGUAAAGCUGAUCAUUUUAGCAAUUUGUAUUUGAAAAAUGAUCAUUUUGGCCAAUUUUCCAAAUUAAAACCCAAAAUUACCAGAAAGAGCCGGCGUGAGAACACCGUCACCAAUCACCAUGCAAGUUCCAAUCAAAGCAAGAACAAGCAAAAAUCUCUGCAGCACCUUGUGCCUCUCCAGAGUCGACUUCAACCUGGACCCGAUGCUCGACUGCAGCGCCGUCCCGGCUCUUUCCUUGUUGUAAUCGGAGAGCUCCUCGUCGGCAGACUGGCUGUUGGGCAGCGAGCUGACUCGGGCGUGUCGACACAGCAGCGAGUACAAGGCGAAUGUUCCUCCUUCGCCAUUGUCGUCUGCUUUGAGCACAAUAAACACGUACUUGAGAAGGGGGAUGAGGGUGAGAGUCCAGAAUACGAAGGACAAGACGCCAAAGAUUUCUUCGUUGGUCUCUGAGUGAUCGAUAUCUUCAGCAAAUGUGCUUUUGUAAACGUACAGAGGCGAAGUGCUCAAAUCGCCAUAGACGACGCCGAGGCUCUGGUAAGCCAGAGUCAGAAUUGUCUUCCAUGAUUGUUUCUGCAACACAAGAAAACAGCAAUUUGAUCACAAAACUCAAUUGGGUUUUCAUCAUUGCGAAGAAAAAGUAUGAAAUCAAAGCAAAAUACUGCACCUUUAUAUGGUUUUGAUAAACCCCAGUUUCCUGAUCCAUGGCGGGUGGACUCAGUGAUCGAGCAGAGCCAUGUUUUGCUUCAGAUUGGGGAGAGAAAACGAAACCCAUUUAGCAAAAACAGCCUCCCCAAGUUAUAUGCAGAGAAAAGUCACAUUCUUUUGGUGUUCGUUAAAUUGCAAAAAGAUGAAAUGGAUUGUUUAACUUAUUUACUCAGCGACUUUCUGAAUCUCUGAAAAAGAAACCCACAAAAAAACAGAAGAAAAACUCAGCGGAAAAACAAAGUUUCUGCAGAAAACGCCUCCCCAGAAAAAAUUUCUGAAAAACUGAAAACAAAAGGAGCGUUACAGGAACACGAAAUUGGCUUGUAAUAAUCUGCAGGGCGAGAGAGAAAGAUUGUUUCUUUUGAUAAAAUAAUAGUUUACAGAUAUAAAAAUUAAAGAGGGAAAUGUAGACAGCAGGUGAACAACCAGAAAAUGGAGAACAAAAACACGAAAUGCCAAAAGACGGUGGUGCCUUCCUUCUACUCAGUAGUCACUUCUGUAUAAAAAAUAUUAGAAUAUCUGGCUUUAAGCUUCUCUCUGAGAGCAGAGGGGAGAGAGAGAGAGAGAAAGAGAGAGAGAGAGAUUUGUUUUGUGUUAUUUGUUGUUGUAUUGUAGUUGGUGGAAUUUUUGCGUUGGGGCUUUUAAAGUCCACUCGGUGGCUGUUGAGAAUGAGAGAGUGGUGAAGUGAGUUUCUUCCGAUUUCCAGCAGCCAAAUUAGGAGUUGCGAUGGAGGUUUUUUUUUUCUUCCAAAUCUAAUGGUUUUUUUUCUAAAUUUUAGGUGGUUUGACUCAGAAAUGGCACUGUGAUUGCUAUUGAAUGUCUUUAAAUUUUGAUAUUUGUGUCUAUUUAUUUUACAAAUUUUACAAAUUAAAUUCAUCUAACACAUUAAAUUCGUCACCAAAGUGCCAAAUCAGGAUAUAGCCACGGGAUCCAAAAAUCCUCACCAUCCCGUGCAAAUAUAUACAAACACAGUAAUAUAUGGAAAAGGGGUGAAGCUAAGGGGGAAUGUGACUUUGCCUGAAGUCGCAGAACGCUUGGCCUCAAGGGAAAGUCGGCAUGCCGGUCGUGGGAAGGAAAGCGGAGUAAGGAAAUGGAUUUGGCAUCUAUCUUUGGUUCGUCGUUUGUGGGUUUGAGUAGAGGGUGGGAUGAGGAUGGCAUAUGAGGAGGGGAGGUAGAGGGAAGAGAUGGGGAGGAUGGAAGUUGGGUUUGAAAAGAGACGACAAGGAAGAUAGGAAAUGUGGAAAACUAAGGAAAUUAAGGCAUAAAAAACCGACGAUAAACGUCGGAGAAGUGGCGAAGAACGUUGGAAAUAAAUGUCACCGACUCUGAAACCGCCAGCCGACGGAGACGAUUGAGGGCGGAGCACGGAAGGGCGAGAGCUUUUUAGAGAGAAUGAGGGCUGGAUGAGGCAAGAGGUAGGGAGAGGGGCAGAGUCGCAUUUGGAUAUUCUUAUUUUCGGGUUAUUUGCGAAUAUUUAGAUAUUCUUAUUUAACUUUCUCAGUUCUCCCUUUUAUUUUGUUGCAUUGUUGCAUGGUGAUUAUUUGAUCAACUUUUAAAGAUUAUUUAUGCAAAAGUUAACUAACUAAAUGUGAAAGCCUUUAAUUAUCUAACUGUUAUCUAUGAAAUAGAUGAAUCAUGUUUAUUUAAACAUUGAAAUUUUGACAAGGUUAUUCAAACGAUUGAGAUUUAUAAUUUAACUGGUUUUUUGCAUGAUUAAUCUUUAAAAAAUGUGACUUAGAAAUUAGAGAGUUUUUUUUUUUUUUUUUUUUUUUAUCACCAAACAACAUUGCAUGAUAAAACAAAAAAAAGCUGAGAAAAUGAAACGAGAAAGUUCAUGUGAGAAUUGUAAGCAAACCCCUUUCAUAAAUUAAACUUAACAAUGACUGAUAUUGGUUAAGGUAGAUAAUCAAACUAAUGUGCUCGCUACUUUGCUCUUUAAGUUUGAAUGGAUAAGAAUUCUUUUUGUAGAAAAAGAACUAUACGAACCAAAUCUUUUAGAAGCUUUACGAGAAUAAACAAAAAUAAAGAAGAAUAAAUUCUUAUUUUCCAUUUCUGCGAAGAGCCAAAUGUUUCAGUGUUUGUUAAUUGUUAAUAUUUGGUGUGACCUUUGUGUGAAUUCCAAGUUCAGAAGUUACUUCUGGUAUAUAAUUUGUCUAGUUUUUGGCAGCCACCAAACAUGAAUCUUGACUUUCUUGAUAUUUUUAGUUGAAAAUAUUUUUAGUUCGCUCAUAAUUUUGGAGUAUUAUUCAUAUCUAAUUCUCAUAUAAUUUAAAUCUGGACCCGAUUAUUUUUGGUGGUGGGUUCAGAAAGCUAAAGCUCAAUAACAAAUUGGCAAUGUUAUUUUAUUUAAAAUGGUAUUUGAAAGUGGUAUAACUCCUCACUUUCACUUUCGUUUGACAAAUAAAAAUCUAUAUAAACGGUCUUGACUUUGUCCAUUGUAAAUCAUUUUGGUCAUUUCGUGAAAAUCUGUCAAUGUCUUUAUUAAAUUGUCACGUAAAUGAUCAUGUGACCAUCUUUUGUAUUUUUGUCAAACAAACUCCUCCACUUAACGAGGAUAUUGACAGACUUUUCAUAAAAUACCAAAACAAUUUACGGUGGACUAACUCAAAGACUAAUUUUAUCAAUUUUUAUUAUCAGAUACCAAAAUAAAGAAUGAAUCUCAAAGACCAUCUUAGUUAAAAACCAAAUAAAUAUCGAUAAAUAAUACAAAGAGCAGGCAGCUUUUGAGGCUUUGGUAGUGUGAUUAUUUGAAAAGCCAACAAAUUUAAAGUUGGAUUUUGACUAAAAAUCAACACGUACGUGGAGUGUUUGAUAGGCUAUCACCAGUAAUAAGCAAGGCAAAGUGUGUGAUAGGGUUCAUUGAAACCAAACAAGAAAAACCCUACCAUUCGGAAUCUUAGACAGAAUAAUUCUGCAUCCAUUUGAGAAGGUGUUUUAAAUGUCUUUCCCUUCCCACCACAAAAACAAUAUUUAUACUACGAUUGACUAACUUGUUAAUAAAAAUCAAAUAAAUAUAAGGGGUUGCUAUCCUAUCACUAAUAUUAUUAGUUGCAACAACUUUGUUGGAACUUUAUGGCUUAUUUCCCCAAGUGGCUUUUUAAGGGUAGCUCUGAAAAAGUGCUUUCAACAAAUCUGAGUGUUAAACUUUUGUAUAAAAUUUUGAUGUGAAUAUGUUAAGUGACUAAGGAAAAUAAUACAAGGUAAAGAUUAUAAUUUUGUAAAAUAUGCAGAAGUAUACUUGUCAUUUUAAAAUUUCAUUAAAUAGACAUUGUUCACUAUGCUUUGAAAAAAACAUAUAGUAGACCUUAUUUCUGCUUUUCUAUGCUUCUCCAUUGUCAACGACAACUUUUUAAAAAAAAAAAGUAAUUUUUUUUUAUCUUAUCAAACAUAUUUAAUGUUCCAAAUUUUUUUAAUAACAUGUUUUUUUUUAAAGACCACACACCCAAACCAACCCUAAUAUGAUAUCCUUGAUGUCUAGAAAUAAAAUUAAUUAACCCAGGAUAGGAAAUAAUAUGAUACACUUUGUCUUGAUAGGACUACAAUAAUCGAGAGGGUUCCCUUGACCAUACAAAUUAUUAUUUUUUUCGUCAAAAGAUAAAUUUUGUUAGAUUAGAUAUUAGAUUAACAAACCAUAGAAUUCGAACCCACGUCACCAUGUAAGGGCUCAAUUUAUUUCCAUACAAAAUUUAAUCCUUAUUAAAGCACGAAGUUUACUAAUCAAUUACCAUUCCUUAUAUAUAAGCACGAUUAUAAACGGUUGAUUGACGAAAAUGUAAUUUCAUUUUAUACGGUAAGACGUACAUCAUUAGUGGAUUGUCAAUAGCACAUUUUCUUAAGAAAAAUAGUUUGUAACUAGUGUUUACCAAUAACCCUAAACUAAGUGAACAAAUAGGGUUCUUAUUCUGUUCCAAAAAAAAAAAAAUAGGGUUCUUCUUCUUGCUUUUAUCACCCUUUUUGGCUGUUUUGAACUUUUGAAGGAUGGUUGGUGACGAUGAAUUAUAUUGGAUUUUUAGUUGGGUAAUGCUAAGGAUAUUAUUCAUAAAAUUAUAUUUUUAUAUAUGAAGUCGUUUUUUAUGAUCAAAUUAUCACGUGUCAUUUUCUAUUACUGACACAUCAUACGGUAUAUAAAUUUAAUUUAAAAAGUUAAUUUAUUUAGCAUUACUUUUUGUAGUCAAUUAAUCAUCAAGCUAACUAUGCCUUCUAGAUUAUGCACACUAUUAUUAGAAAGAGGAUCCUCUCCGGAUCCACUUUGUGGGGAUUCUAGGGUUCCCCACAUCCUAGCCGUUCAUUGUACAUCGUGCGGACAGUUUUAGUCAGAUACUAUUUGUGUUUAAUUUUAAAUAAAAAAAAUCAAAUAAUUUAUGAUCGCACGAUAUACGAUAAAUGAUUAAUAUGUGAAGAUUUAUAGAAUUCCACAAAGUAAAAUUCGAAUCGGAUCCAAAUUCCUAUUAUUAUUCAACCGAGUAAAUUCUUACAUUCUUCGUUUUACUUUUUGCAAACUGACCGUACCUGGUAAGUUUGUCCCUUGAUUUAUUAAUGAUAUUAAACAGUUGAAAAGAAAGAAAGAACUGCAACAGGUCAAAAGAAGAUUGCAAAAUCACUCUGCUUCUUCGGAGUUGAAACAAUGUAAGCACUGGCUAUGAGAGUUAGUCUUGAACUGGUGUUUAAUUAAGAUUGAUAUUGAGAGUGAUGUGCUUCAGAUUGUUUUGGUAGUGUUGGAGUUUUCGAUGAACUUGUCUUCCAUGGGACCCAUCAUCAAAGAUACCAAAUUCUUGCUGUCUCUGGUCACUGAAGCUUCGGUUGCCCAUAUUUGCCGUCAAGCAAACUCGGUAACCCAUAUCAUUAGUGAUUUUCUUGUUAAGGAUGUUUCUUUAUCUUGUACCAAUUAGCCUGACUGACUUUAUGAAAUAUAUGCCGUCCUGUCCCAAAAAAAAAAAAGAAAAAAAAAAGAAACAAUGUAUUUCUUAAUGGACGUACACGUUCAAUUCAUGCAGCACAACAGCUCGGUUUUACCUAACUCUUUGCCCUUCUAAGAAAACAAAGAAACUUCUAGGAUGCAUGAAUUAAACACGUGUCGUACUCCUGUCGGCUCAACACAACAGCACGUGUCCCUCAUGCAUGGCUGGAAUUUGGAGAAUGCAUGCAUGGCUCUCGUUUUUUUUAUUUUAUCAAAUUAACGUGAGGGAUGCAAACAGAAACACAUUUUCUACUGUUGUUAGCGCAUUCGCUAAGACAUAUAUGAUGAAGCAGCCAUAAAGGUAGAAGGAUUUAUUUGGAACUUCAGCGUAAAAAAUCAUUUCAUGCACUGAAUUUCGUACAAUAAAUAGUCGGGUAAAUUACAUAGUAGUUAUUCAAGUUUGAUGUCUAUUAUAACCUUAUACAACAUUUUAAAAACAUUUCACUUUCAUACCUCACGUACUAUUUUAUUUCAAAAUAAUAUAUCCGUUUCAUUUUCUAUCAAUUGAUCCGUUAAGCGCUGACGUGACAGCCACAUUUGUGUCACGUGGCAAAAAAAAAAAAACUUAGAAAACCCAUAUCCCAUCACCCCACCCCCCUUGCGCCGCCCGCCGAAACCCCAUCCCCUUCAUCAUCUUCCCCAUCCGUCAUCCCUCCCUGUUACCCAAAUCCAAAACCACUCCUACCCAUCCUCCACAUCCUCCUCCGCACCCAUCCUCCACCUCCUCCGCGCACCCAUCUUCCCAUCCCCCCUCCCCACCCGAGCCCAAUCUGCAACCCAAAAAAAAAAUAAAAAAACCCAACUACAUCUUCCCCAACCCCCCUUUCCUGCAACCCACCCCUUUCUUCUCCCUCCCAUCUUCCCCAAACCCAAUGUGCACCCAUCCUCCACCUCCUCCUCCUCCUCCUCCGCACCCACUACCUGCAACCUAGAAAAGAAAAGAAAAAAAAAAAAACCCAUCUCCCUUUCCUUGCAACCCAUAUCUUGUCUUCCCCAAUGGGUGUGGAUUUAAGGAGUGGGGUGUGUAGAGGAGGGAAGAUGGUGGGUGCGGAGGGUAGGUGCGCGGGUGGGUGCGGAGGAGGACGUGGAGGGUGGGUGCGGUGGGUUUGUGGUAGAUGGGAGGGGGAAGAAAGGGGUGGGUUGCAAGGAAGGGGGGUCAGGGAAGAUGAAGACAGGGGUUUUUUUUUUUUUUUUUUUUUUUUUCUUCUUCUUCUUCUUCUUCUGGGUUGUAGGUUGGGUGGGGGAGGGAAGACAAAGUGGGGGUUGCAGGGAGGUGUGUUUUAGCUUUUUUUUAAUUUUUUUAAUUUUGUUAGAAGAUUUAGGUUUUUUUUUUUUUUUUUUUUUUUAAAAAAAAUUUGCCACGUGGCACAAAUGUGGCAACCCAGUUCUUGUCUUCCCCAAUGGGUGUGGAUUUAAGGAGUGGGGUGUGUAGAGGAGGGAAGAGGGUGGGUGCGGAGGGUAGGUGCGCGGAUGGGUGUGAGGGUGGGUGCGGAGGAGGACGUGGAGGAUGGGUGCGGUGGGUUUGGGGAAGAUGGGAGGAGGAAGAAAGGGGUGGGUUGCAAGGAAGGGGGGUCGGGGAAGAUGAAGAUGGGUUUUUUUUUUUCUUUUCUUUUUUCUUUUCUUCUUAUUUUGGGUUGCAUGUUGGGUGGGGGAGGGAGGGAGGGAGGAAGACAAAGCGGGGGUUGCGGGGAGGUGUGUUUCAGCUUUUUUUUAUAUUUUUUUAAAUUUAUUUAGAAGAUUUAGGUUUAAAAAAAUUAAAAUUUUGUUUUUUUUGCCACGUGGCACACAUUUGGCAGCCACGUUAGCGCUUAACGGAUCAAUGGAUGGAAAAUGUAACGGAUGUAUUAUUUUGAAAUAAAAUAGUACGUGAUGUAUGAAAGUGAAUGUUUUAAAGAUGUUGUAUGAGGUUGUAAUAGACCUCAAACAUGAGGGACUACUAUAUAAUUUACCCUAAAUAGUCCUUUCUGGUUUUAGGGUUAGGGUUUAGGCUAAUAUUUUGACGUGUAUGGUGGUGCAAAUUGCACUUACAUAUGAAAUAGACGAAACAAUUGUACUUUGUACAUACAGAGAAGCGACUGAGAUGUUUACCAAUAUUUUCCAUGAUUUUAUUUAAUUAUUUUUUUUUCAUUUUGUUGCCUUGUAGGAAAAGGAUUUUUGUCGGAUCCUUUUCCUGCGGAUCCUAAGAAUCCCGUAAUUAUGGUCAUUCAUUGUACAUCGUGCAGUCAUAAAUCAUUAGGUACUAUUUAUAUUUAAUUUUAAAUUUUGAAAUAAUUUCUUACCGUACGAUGUACAAUGAACGGUCACGAUUAUGGGAUCCCUAGAAUCCUGAGGAAGGUAAUCUGUGUCAAAUCAAAGUUGUAUACAUUUUACAUCAAUGGCUCGAAUUUUUGGUAAUUUAGGGCUAAAGAUUUUACUGGUUCAAUCAAACUAUCCAAAUACUCGUAUUUUGACAAAAAUUAAAAUUUAUAAAUUAGCAUGUACUAAUUAAUUCUCCUUUUUGAAUUCGUAAAAUAUAAAUUUUGAAUUUCCACAUAAAAAGGACUUGGAAUUUGGGACCUCCUUCCCAAGCUUAAAUUCUAUGUAAAUAUAUAUGUGUUAUCUUCAAAUUUCUAUGAGUGAGAGUUUAAAAAUAAAAAUUUCCAUCUUUUAGGUCAACCAAACAAGAAAAUCCACAAAUUCUAGAAAAUAAAAUUUCGUCAUUUUGAAAAUUUUUGGGGAUUUUAGAUCCAGGUCCAAAAAACAUAGAGUGUUUUUAGGAGUGACUCCAGUUAUCUAAUUAUAUGUUUUUAUUUCUUUUAUACUCCUUUUAUAUUUUCUAAAAAUAAUAAAAAUCUUUUAAUAUUAUGCAUUUUUCAACUCCCAAAUAUCUAAUUAAUAUCUUAUAAACAAAAAAAAAUAAUUAAUAUACUAACAUAAAUCUAUCUGCAAAACAUUUUACCCUAACUCAAGUAACAAAUAUAUGAAUGUAUAUUAUACCUGUAAGUGAGAUAUGAAACUUAACUAAAAGGUAGAAAAAAAAAACAUAAUAUACCUAUAGGUAGAUAAAUACAAUUAACAUAGUGAGAUAAGACACAUUAAUCUGUGACAGGUUGACUAUGAAAAAGAAUCUGUCAUAUAGGUAGAUAAAUACAAUUAACAUGUGAUAUAGGUUGAUUAUAAAAAUUAAAAAAAAAAUCUAUAAAUGGGUUAAAGCAGGAGGAAGAACAAGAAAUAACAAAAAAAAAUAUACAAAAAGAAAUAAUCAAAGAGAUAAUUAGGAAGAAAUUUGAUUUUUACAAUAAGUUUUUUCUUUUAAGAGAUAAUUAUUGAUAAUUAAAUAAUUAAAUUUAAAGAAUUGAACUUAUUUUAAUAAAUUGGACCAUUCCUACUAUUGGCUCAAAAAAUUGGAGUUAUAUCAAGUUUCCCCAAAUUUUUUAGUAAUUUUAAAUUUCCUUAUCCAACCACAGCGUGCAUCAAAAUAACUUGAAAAUUAGUAAAAACUUGGUUUUUGGCAUGAAAAAAAUUGUUUUCUCUCGUUUGGCAACCUCUAUCGUGGAAAACGCCAAAUUCUACGUGAAAAAAUCGCGAAUACACCUAAGCGGGAAUUUCAGUGCGCAGAGAGAUACUCCAAAUUUCUGGUAUGAGUUACGCUGCUCUUGCGUUGUUCACCUAUUCUUGUAAUCUGAACCAAAAGUUUUGCGAUCUGCUCUUGUGUCGCUCUUCUUGAUGUCGUGUAGAUUUCCAGGUCAGUGGCUUAUCUUCCUUUUCCCUUCUGAUUGGUGUCUGUUGCUGGAUUAUUCUUUGUUCCCUGACUUUGAAGCGUCUCUCUGCGCGCCAAAUUUUUCUCUUAGGUUGGAUUUUGAAAUAACGCCUCUAUCGGUGGAAAUUAAAGUUGGAAAUCUCCGUGCUCAAGUUCCACUAUUUUUUCUGCGCAAAAUUUGGCGUUUUCCACGAUAGAGGUUGCCAAAUUAACGAGGGAAAACAAUUUUUCCUUGCUGAAAUACCGAGUUUUUAUUAAUUUCCGAGUUAUUUUGACGCAUCCAAACACAGUGUAACUGAAAACUCAUUUUUGUAUGCAAGUUAUGAGAGUAGUGUAUUUGUUAUAUCGUACCUAAUCGGUUAUCCAAAUUACUUUAUUAGGUAACAAUUUAUAAUAGUUUAUGUCAAGGAAUUUUGAAGUUAGGUUCGAGUUUGCAUGCAUGGGAGGAGAGAGGCAUUAAAAAAAUGAGAGUCGGUAUCAAAACCAGAAUUCAAGCUAUGCAGCACAUAUGCAUGAAUCAAAUUAAUUAAAUGAUUACAAUUCAGCAUGGGGGAUUAGGUAGCUAGAUUUAACCUGCACCAAGAGCAUGUGUAUAUAAUAAAUUAAGUAACAUAAUUUUGUCUAAUCACAACGAUUUUAGGUCAAGAAGCACCGGAUCACACAAAUUAAUUAAUUAGUAGUUGUUUAAUUAGCUAGUUUCAGCUCUUAUAAACCAUAUAGGGUUUGUAAAUGUUUGUGGUCCAUGGAUAGCGAUGGAUCCAGUAGCCUGUUGGCUCUCAAAUAAAUUAGCUAUAGGAUUAGUCAUGAUUUAAUCUCAUUUAAUUAUAUUGGGAUCAUUGUUUAAAUAUCGAUAUAGCAGGAAAUAUCAGUAUGCAAAUUUAUGAAAAUAUCGAUAUCAGUUGCCUUCGACGAAAAUACUCAAAAAAAUUCAAAAGUUCGAAAUCUGCAAUGCGUUCGAAAAUUGAAAUAAUAGUAUACGGAUGAUAUUUUUAGCUAUUAUCAAUGAAGGUAAUAUAAUAUAUUUUAUAAGAAUUGAUUGGGUUACGAAUCCCAGGCCUGCUUGACUGUGAGAUCUCACAGAGAUGAAAGUUGACGAAGUGAUCCGGGAGUCUUGUGUGGAAGGGCUCUCGCUCGAUGGUUCUCUCGCAAAAUUUUUGUAGUGAGUCAAUAAACAUUGUUGAUAUUCAUCAAUUUUCCAAUAUCUCGCCGAUACACGAUGAAGUUUAUAUUUCACCCCCCCCUCCAACGAUUAUCGACAAUUUCAUAGGUAUUUUAAACCCUGAUUGGGAUCCAAUAGAUAAGAACUGUCAGCAUUAGUCUGUGCAGCCAGUAAUUGUUUAUUAUAGAAGGAAAUGCAAUACAAUCCUUCAUCACAUGUAGAUGACUUUAGGUCGUUGGUGUACUCGUCUGAGUCACGACUAAAGAAGAAACCUAAAGAUCAAUGGUUCUCAAUCAUUCACACAUAAAACUUGCAUCCAUCAACGAUGUGGUCUCAGCAAAGCUCACUCGUUGAAAAUUUGAUUAAAAACUAUAUGAUUGGUUUAUGGUUGGACUCUAAUGGCCCUUCAAAGCUUAACAGGACCGUUUACACCCGUUGAUUAUCGAAAUAAUGCUGGAUUAAAAUGCCCUUAAUUAUUCAAUUAUUCUGAGACACAUGGGUCACUUAAUUAUCUUAUAGAGUCUUAAUUAUCAACUAACAUCUGACUUUUCACUAAUUAGAAGAAGUUUUCAGCUUCCACGGAUUUCAGUCCAGAAAAAUUAGUUUUCAUGAAUUUCUUAUGAAAAUUCAACGAACAAAAAGCAAUUUUUAAGUAUCUAAACUCUCAAGCGUGCUUUGUUUCCUCACGUUUUAGGAGUCAUGACACGUGGUGGAUCUAGCGGUUGACUGGGAACGAGUCUGAGAGUUCCCCAAUCUAAUUGAUGAUGCAAAGUGCAAACCCUACUCAUCCUCCUCUCUUAUCCAUUUACGACAUCCUCUCCACUUCCAUUCUUUUUUAAAGUAUAAUCCAACUUCCCCCACACGCAAACUCCACUAAGAGUCCUUGUUGUUUAGGAUGCCUUUAGAAUGGCUAAAAGCGAUUAUGAUAACAAAUAGAUUGAUAUGAGUGUGAUUUCAAAUUACAAGGUAUGAAUGAGAUUGCUUUUAGAAGAACUAAACGUGUUUUUCGACGCUCAAAAACGCUUAUGACUGUGUUUGACAAUUUUUUAAAAAAGUGAUUGUAGAAGUGUUUUCGAGAGAAUCACAUGAAUGCUAUUUCAUGAAGCACUUCAUAAAACACUUGAAGCGACCCCAAACACGUAGUCUUAUACAUAGUGCUCUUUUGAAAGGUGACCUUUCUAAAGCGUUUUUAACAAAAUUCUUAUAAACAUAAAUGCUUUCUAUAAGGGAAUAGGAUCAUCUCUGGAUCCUCUUUGUGGGGAUCUAGAGGAUCCUUCAAUUGUGUCCUUUAAUCGUAUAUCGUUAGGCCAGUUUUCGUUCGGUACUAUUUAUAUUAAAUUUUAAAUUAAAAUUUUAAAAUAAUUUCUAAUCGCACGAUAUACGAUGAGCGGACACGAUUAAUUAAUCAUCCGGAUCCCACAAAGAGGAUCCGGAGAGGAUCCUAUUCCUUCUAUAAGAACCCUCAAGCACGCACUUGCAUGAGUUGGCCUUCUUAUUAAAACGCACUGCGUGAGAAAUGUGGCUUGAUUAUAUUUGUACAUAAAAAUAUUCUUUAGGGUUUAUUCUAAAUGUCGAUACUUUUCCACCAAUAAAAAUAGGUUGCCACUUUUGCCUAAAGCCCGACAAGAAAAAUAAACCCAACAGAGCUUCUUGUACGCAAGAACUACUUUGGUUGGUGUUGAAAAAUGGACCAAAACAAAGACAAGAAAACACAAAGAGACCAACAGAAGAACUCACAUUCAAUUGGCCCGUUAAGGAGGCGGUAUUGCAAACAAAUCACGAGAUACCACAUAUGGUAUGGUCAGUCGGUUUGAGAUACCGUCACCAGAGCGUCUUAGUUGCAUGUUUCUCUGAAGGAUGGGGAAAUUUAUGAUGCAAUAAUUGUCUUACAGUGUCUCACAUAGAGGUUGCAAUAAGCAGCAGAUAAAUAUCCAUAAAAUGAGAUAAAUUCUGCAAGUAAAAAUAAAUAAAUCAGACCAUGUAAGUCAUACCGACUUGCAUGAUGUUCAUGUGAGGCACACUCAUAUUUGCAGGACCUGCUCUGCAGUUCCUCCUCAUGAAUGCAUAGAAGUAGUUUAUGACUAGCUUCUUGAAGAAAAACGAGUUCUUCUUUGCCCUCACAUCUCCGUGCGCUAGCAAAUACGUAAAUCCUGAAUCCAUUGCUUCUCGCAGUGCUGAGAGCUCAUACUCCAGACCGGGGUCUUCAUUCGAUGACAUCACACUAGACGGCAACGUUUCAGCAACAGCAGUUUCUUCUGAGGUUGAAGCUCCUCCUACCUCCAGUGAUCUUCCAUUGUGCAUCAAUGGAAUCCUGAGUUCCUCAAUCUCAUCACCUCCUGGGACUCCCAAAUCCCUUGACCUGGGAGAAUCAUUGUCAAAGUCUGAGUCAUUUAAAUUGCUCUCCAAGGCAAUAUCUUGAGCUUCCUUCCUCAGAAACUUCUCCAGGCUUUCAACUAGAAGUUGUUCAAAUGAAUGGUGAUCUUCCUUCCGGAUAUCUUUGUAACCGUAUCGGGCUACACAGCGGAACAUAUGGUAGUCUUUUGGGCAAACUCUUCGAAACAGAAACCUUUCUUCCUGAGGAACCACUGGGACAGGGACAUACUUAAUGCAGACGAAAACUAUAGUGGAGUGGAUAGCUGGAAGACUUAGAAGGAACUGCACAAAAAUGGAUGGGAUGCCUUGGACAAGCUCACUAUACAGCAAUCCAAUUCCUGGGACUCUAACAGUCCCUAGUGUGGAGCCAAGAUCAGUCAUGGAGUCCAUGGAUAUCUUCUCCCUUACCUCGCUUCGGUACUUCAGCACACUCCCAUAGUUCCAAGUGUACAUCACACAGAGGAAGCAAGAGGCGAAAGCAAGAGGCAGCCAGCCACCCUCUUUGAUUUUUGAUAAAACCGCACACAAGUAGACAAACUCUAUCGAUCCAAAUACAAGUGGAAAACACAAAGCUAGAAACAAGUUGGUUUGCCAAAUGAGAAGCAUUACAAGUGUCACCAAGGUUGUGCUCACCAUCAUGACACCAACUUCAGCUAUUCCUGCGUGAAUAGAUAUAAUUGGAUUAGCAAAAUUAUCAUUACACAUUAAUAGUUGGUACAUCUUGACUCCUGUCCGACUAAUAAAACUCAUAUAUAUUGUUGUGAGGAAUAUAAACUCAAUAUUCCUGCCUAGCGGCAUUUAAAAUUGUAACAUAUAGAAUUUCAUGUGAUAACAUUAGAAUAUGAAUGUUGAACCAACUUCAUUUCAAAUAUACAAAUAUCUUUGGCUUUGGACAAAAUUCUUAUAGGAAGGAGAGGAAAAGGAUAAUUCACCAUAUGCAUUGGCAAUCUCUGUGGUGCUUCGAAAGAUGGAAACCACAACUAUGCACAUGAUCAUUAAAAACCAAUUGAUAAUAGGGAUAUAAAUUUGGCCCAUUCGCCUCUUUGAGGUGUGAACUAUCUUUAGCCUUGGGAAGCAUCCAAGAGCCAUUGAUUGCUUAACACAUGAAAAUGUAGCAGAUAUCAUCGCUUGGCUGGCAAUCAUCGCAGCAAGGGUAGCUACCACAAAGACUGGCCAGAAAAGACUAUCUGUUUGUUCACAAGAUUGGGGAACCAUAAGUGUCAAACUGAGGAACCAAAUACAGAGAGAUGCCCCUUUACGAGACAGUUAGAGUGGAGUUGAAAAGAAUGGUAGCCAAGAUGUUGGAAAGUGUCACCUGGCACAGAAUCAUAGAAUAUUCUAGCCGAGGAAUCAGGGUGUUUCAUCAGAUAAGCAGCUUGGCCCAUGUAAGCUAAGAGAAGGCAGGGGAACACCACAAAGCUGAAGGCAACCUGCACAAGAUGUAUAGAUUAUACGAUGCUCUUCGAUAAAUAAAAUGUAUGAAGCUAUUUCAAGGGAGAGAAAGGGUAUGCAUUGGCCAACCUGAAUGGCUCGCACAGAGAAAUGUCCUAGAUCAGCAAACAUAGCUUCGGCUCCUGAAACAGCAUAACCACUAAUGCAUUUGGGAAGUUUCUUUACUAUAAAUCCAUAGGAGAAAUUGAAAAGGGAAAAACAAAUGGCUCUCAUUAGAAACCUAACGGGAGUUAAAGGUGAGAUAUACCUGUAAUGCACAAAACACAACCACCAAGAGCGAACCAUGCUUCCUUAUUGUUCUUCUUGAAGAAAAAAUAAAUAUAAGCAGGAUUGAAUGCCCUCAGGACUGUAACGUCAUACUUCACUAAAUUGUAGAUUCCAAUAGAUGCCAGGCUGAAGAACCACAAAGCAAGUAUUGGAGAAAACAUGACACCCACUUUUCCAGUCCCAAACCGCUGUAUGCUGAACAACACUAGGAGAAUUACAAUCGAAACAACAACCACAGCAUCUGCAAUUAAAAUCAAUCAGAUUAUGGGCCAUACUGUCCGCAACUUAUAAGUUAUACUUGUGUUUCCCCUUUCAAUUCUAUCCCAGGUAAAAAAAAUAGUUAAGUAAACAAAUGAACCACAGAUUCUCUGUCAGACUAAGAAAAAGAUACUCACUUGUACCAAAACCUGGCAAUUCACCUUGCAGGCCACUCACAGCAGACAUCACUAUGACAACCAAAAAGAAGAAAAUACAUCAGUAUACUCUCCUACACAGAUACAAUGGAAAACAUUCGUAUAAUGUAUGAAAAUGAUUGUGCACAAUUUUGCAGUUUCAGCCAGGUUUAACAAAAGUCCUACUUCCUAAUUGUGGUUUCCUGUCUAAGGAAGAGGAACUUGAAAACGAUGCAAGAACAAUCUGUGGCUGUUAUUGGUAAUGUGAUUUCAUGUCAGUAGCUGCAGCUUAAACAUAUUUUGUUGGCUGAGUAUAUGAUAUCAAGAAUUUUCCACCUCAAGCUCAGUCAAGUAAUGUACCUGAUAUAGCUGGGGUUAGAAUACCAUCUCCUAUAACCAUCGAAGUUCCCAUCAAAACGAACAACAAGAGGAUAGUUUUCAAGAAUGGUCUCCUUUCUAAAGUGUCUUUUAUACGCAAAGCCCUUUUCAACUCUGGAGUGGGCAAUUUGAGCCUAUAACUUGAGAUGUAUUCAUCAGCUGGCUGACGAUUUGGCAGCAGAUUAACAUUUGCAUAUCUGCAUAUCAGUGAGUACAAUGCAAAUGUUCCUCCUACAAUUGGAAACAUAAAUAGUGUACAGGUUAACAAGUACUCACAUGACCAUAUACUACCAAGCAACUAAGGACAAAAUAACCAAGGACAAAAUAAUUGUGACACGAAAAAGUGCCUACCUUCUCCAUUAUCAUUGGCUUUGAGAACUACGAAAACAUAUUUUGCUAAAGGUAUAAGCGCAACUGUGUACAUCACUAGUGAUAAAGCUCCCAAGACAUCAACAUCUGAUUCGAUGCGCACCCUGCUGAACACAUCAGCAAAGACAUAUAAAGGGCUCGUUCCCAUGUCACCGUAGACCACGCCAAGAGUUUGGAAUCCUAAAGCAAGAGUGCCCCAAACAGAAUGAUCCUGAUUGAUUAAACAAAGUUAGUAAGUCAUGGAUAUUAUCAUAGUAGUAUUUUCAAACACUUUACAUUACAGAAUUGGGAAAAGGUAAUUUUGUCUGCAAAAAAGGGGUGGCAAAUCAUGAUUCUGCUGAUAUACAAUUUCUUAAUAAAAGGUUCACAUGAUGUAACAAACAUACCAUAUUACAAAGAUUAUUUUUUAAUACAAACGAUACUCUACUCCAAGCUAAUAUAAAUUGCGGGGAUGAGGAUUCAAACUCAGUGCAUAGGGGAGCAUGUCAGCUCUAGCCAAUGUGGUUACACCCAUGCAAAGUAACCUUUAUUCCAAAUAACCAAAUUUCCAAUCUUACAACAUUUGAUGAAUUUAAAAUUAACCAACACAUAAAGAAAAACCACUAAUACCACAUAAAAAUGAUUUAUUUCACAAAAAAAACCGAAGAAAAACGUAAGGAACUGUGUUAUUACCUUCAAGUGAUGGCUACCAGCACCAGCAAUCGCCAUGGCUUCCACAUCAAGAGAAUCAACUCUCUUGGGCUUCUUCACAAGCCUCCUCCUGAAAGAUCCUCCAUACCCUUCUCCUCUGCCGCGUUCUCCAUUAUCAGAAUGCAACGACCACGGCGGCGAUUCCGAGUCCACCUCGCUCCCAUCCACCCACCUCGAGUCGCUCCCUACCCCACUCCCACUUCUUCCCGCCAAUCUCUCACUCCUCUCCACAAUCCCAUCUUCUUCUGCCAUUUUUGCACAAAUCCUUCAGAACAAAAAUCCAAUCUUUUUCUUCGAGCUUCAGUAAUUGGUCAUGAAAUUGAAUGAUUUGUUGUGGGUUAUAUAUCGUGCCUGCUGAGAUGAUGUUUGAGCGUGGCAGAUGAGUGGGAGUGAGGACGGCGACAGCGUUUUCGAAUAACGACACGGACAUUAUUGACAUGAUAACAAACAACAAACCAUCCAUUUAUCUUCCUUCGGCUUUUCUGCUAUUGGUCCAUAAUCAUACGUCCACGCACUUUUUUCUUGUUUUAUAGUAUAUCUUGCUUCUUUCUAUAAGAUUAUUUUAGUGUAUCUUUUCGGAAUUCUUUUUACGUUGCGCAAUAUUAAAUGUUACGAAUAUUUGAUAAUAUGAAUUAAUUUGGAUUAUUUAGUUUUAUAAAUUCAGAUUAUUCAAUGAUUGUGUAUUUAAUAAAUAGAUUAUUUUCUUGUAGGCGGUAAAUUAUUCAGAUAGUUUGAGUAUAAGACGAUAUGAUGUUUGAAAGCAUUUUUCUUAUUUUAUUUUUAUGUUCGUCCAACCUCUUCACUAUAAAUUUAAAGCUUCUUUAUAAUUUGCUUCCAUACGAGGAAAAACACUUUAUGAACAAAAAAAUGCUUUUAAAUGUGUUUCACUUAAGAAAACUUGGAAGUUUUUCAUGAAACACUUGGAACUUCUAAUAAAUUUCUAAACGUGUUUAUAACAACAUCACUUCCACUAGAAAAGUUUUCCAAGUACGUCAUUAGUCUUGUUUGAUGAGAAAUAUUAAACGCUUACACGCCAUUUUGUAGAGUUUAUGUUUCUUAAGUUAUUUCUAGACAAUAAAUAAGGACUUUCAAAUGGAGUAAGCAGAAUCAUUGGAAAUACGACAUGGAUUAAUAAAAGGGGUGAAAUAAUGUGAAGAAGUAAAAAUUUAUCCUACGAAAAUGAUAUGAGAAAUAUAGAGCUCGUUUGAAAGUUAUUUUAAAAUUACUGAAAAAACUUUUAGUGAAAAUAUUUUUGGCUUUUUAGCCAAUAUGGUCUAUGAAAUUUGCAUAACUCCUCACUUUGGUGCAUGAGAUUUGAAAUCAAUAAAAGUGGCACUUGAGAUUGUUCAUCAUCAAUUAUUUUGGUCAUUCCAUAAAAAAUCUCCACUAAAUGUAAAUGACAAAAAUACCCUCAUUUUUUUUGUCAAAUCAUUUUGACGUAUUGUUUGUUAGAUUGAUGGUAUUUUUGUCAUUUUGAUUGUUUUUAACAUAAUUUUUUGCGGAAUGACUAAAAUGAUUGAUUUUGGACAAUCUCAAGGAUCACUUCUAUUGAUUUCAAAUCUCAGGGACCAAAAUGAGGAGUUAUGCAAAUCUCAGGGACCAUUUGGCUAAAAAUCCAAAAUUUUAAGACCAAUCUUUAGUAGAAAUCUAAGUGGAUUAUAGAAAAACAUUUUAAGUGCUUCCUGCAAGAAGAAUAUAUAUGGUACUUCUUUCAAAAAAUACUUAUAUGCUUUUGGAAACCCAAAGUCAAUUUCACCAAAAGCAUUUUCAGUCGUUUUAAAAGUAUUUUCAAACGAGCCCAUAGGCAUGUGUUAGCAAUGCCGUAGAAUGGCUUUGGAUAUUAAAAACGACAUGCCGUUCAGACACCCUUAGAAGUCUGGGCCUUGAGAGCAGAUAACUUUACAUAUAAGCCCAAUAGCGGGGCAGUUGGGCUCCCGAAACUCACAGACAAGGUUAAAAGAGGAGAUUCACCAUAAGGGCUAAAAGGGGAAUGUACAAUCAGUCGAAGAACACGCGGGGAAAUUGGUUCUGGUUUCUAGGGUUUAAUCGGGCUCUGCGAUUCCACCCGCAGAGCAUCCAAUUCGUUUCCCCAUCGCUCCGAUCAAUCAAAGUUCACAAAUUCUAGGUUUUUUUCAAGGUAAUAUUCAAUGCUAUUUUUCCCUCUUUUCGUUUCGUAAAUCAUUGAACUUUCGAUUUGUUCUAAUUUUUCCUGGAAAAGUUCGAUUAUUUCUGGAAUUUAAAUGAGAAUUUGUUUUUAUUAGAUAAAUUUGUGUUAUAUAUAUAUAUAUGUAUGUAUUUUGCUAGGUUGAAGGUGGUAUUGCGACGAUGACUCGGGUUUAUGUUGGGAAUUUGGACACUCGAGUGAACGAGAGGGAUUUGGAAGAUGAAUUCCGGAUGUUCGGCGUUCUUCGCAAGUAUUUUCUGCUACAUUCCUCUUGUUUUUCGUUGUCUUAACGAGUCGUGAUCAAUUUUCAUAGGUUCGAAGGAUUCGUGUUGCUAACCAAUAUUUUUAUGAAAUUGAUGACAGUGUAUGGGUUGCACGAAGACCGCCAGGAUAUGCAUUUAUUGAAUUUGAUGAUCGCAGGGAUGCUCUAGACGCGGUUCAAGCUUUGAAUGGUUUGCCCAACUAUCCCACUCUAACUGUAUUUGUGUGUGUUAAUUUGUUUUGUUUUGACUUUUGCAACUAUAAGUGAUAAGUUGGUGUCGUAUUAUCUUUUGCAUCAUAUCUUCAUUUAUUCUGGUAGAUGCAAAGCUUCCUAUCUCCCGUUUUUGUGUAUACAGGUAAAAAUGGAUGGCGUGUGGAGCUUUCUCACAAUUCUACGGGUAGUGGAGGCCGUGGUGGUGGUGGACGUGGGCGUGGUGGAGGAGAGGACUUAAAGUGUUAUGAGUGUGGUGAACCUGGUCAUUUUGCUCGAGAAUGUCGCACGCGCGUUGGUUCACGAGGAGUGAGUGGUGGAAGGCGUCGAAGUCCAUCCCCUCGACGCCGCAGAAGUCCCAGUUACGAUGGCUGUGGGCGCAGGUGGGACCAUCUUUCUUUUCUAACUCACUCUGUUAAAAUUGUGAUUCUGUAUUUUGAUGACCCGUUGUCUUUCCAUUUUAUGCUAUUGUUGCGUUGAGUGUUUGAAUGGUAAUGAGAAUUGUUUGUACCCUGAUUAACCGCAUCCUUCUUGACAUACUUGUCUCAGCUCACUUAGAAUUUGCCUUGUGCGUGCCAAGUUUUUUUAUUUGGAACACAAUAUUCCUAAUGUUUGUCUACUUUUGAAUUGAAAAUAUUUUGUUCUUGAUGAGGAGAAUUAAAAUUAUUACACUUAAAUGAUAUCUUUUUUGGCAGGAGUUAUAGUCCGCGUAGGAGAAGAUCACCUCCACGACGCCGUAGUGUCACACCUCCUCGACGUGGUCGGAGCUACAGCAGGUCUCCUCCACAUCGCCCUGCUCGUCGUGCUUCACCUUAUGCCAAUGGGUAAGUCAUGGCUAUACAACGUUUGUAAGUCUUGGCUAUACAGUGUUUUUACAAAAUGGUGAAAGAUAUAAGCUCGAACAAGUAGAGUGUAUUUGGAUGUGAACAACUGGUUGAAAGUGUUAGGGCUUUGUGUUUUGGGACUUCUUUUCUUCUUGAUAUUAUCGAGUAGCUGAGUGCAUCUGCUUGUUUGCCUUUACAGGGACUAAGCUGGAAUUGGAGCAACUGCUGGAUGACUUGGAAGGAUGAUUUCUCUGCUAUAUUGUAGUUCUAGUAGGAUUGACGAGAAUCAUGUUAGUUAUGUCGAUGUCGUGACAAUGGGUUUUAUUAGAAACUUGGAUUGGAUGACUUGGACAUCAUUUGCAUCGGCUUUCUCACUUCUGCGUGCUAAAAAUUAGAGGUUGCUUUCCUACUUUGAAGUUGCCAUAUUAUAUCUGUUUAUAUAUGAUUUUAUGUGAACUCUUUCUUUGUGGUUGGAUUUUCAUUGUUUGCAUUAGAUGUUCCUAAAGUUUGUUUGUUUUGAUUUGAGGUGUAUUUUCGGCUAAAACGGCUUCGUUUCAACACUUACUGCAUCUUAGCGCUCACAAUUUCUAUCUCUGCUCUGCAUCCAUCGAAGUCUUCUUCUUGCACGAACUUUGGUACUUUGGUUGCACGCGACACCUUUUUAUUGCAUUCUUCUCCAGCAGAGCUUCAUGAACACCCUUUUUUGUUGGUUCAAGAAGAUGAAGUUGUUUGUCGCCUUCCCCACCUUGGCACCUCUGCACAACAUGUACGUUGGAUGUCUACGCGUUAAUCUGCUUCUCUUUCCUUGAGAAAUUUGGACGCAACUGGCCAAAUUAGAGUGUGUCAUCAUCUACCGUGUAUCACAGUAAGACUCCACUUCUUAGUUCUCCACUUGCUGAUCGAAGAAGGUGAGUUUGGUUCUCAGUGGUUGAGAGUUGAGCAUUUAUGGUAGUAGUCUUUGAGCGAAAUAGUAUGGUUGGUUAAUCUACUGACUAAGUCCCAAUGAGCUGACGAUCUUUUUUGCUUGUGGAGUCCGUUUCACCCCCAUCAUUAGUCACAAAGGCUUGGUUUUUGACAUCUUCUGGUUGCGGUACUCUUAUUUGUGCAGCAUAAUUCAAACCUACCACAUACUAUACAAGACUAACCAUUCUUUUUUUAUUGUAUGUUCUUUGUUUGACUAUUGUAAUUAACGAUCCAAUUAGUGGAUGUUGCGAACAGUUAAAAGAAUCGAAUACCAUAUUCUGAACAAUAUCUUGUGCGUAAUCGUGCCUUGUUAGCGGAUGCUGCAAAUAAUUAAGAAUCUAAUGCCAUAUUUUGUAAUUUACGUUGGGGAUCAAGUCUAAUGUUGAUCGAACAAAGCAUGUGGAGGUUAAUUGAUAUUUGUCAAAGAAAAUCUUAAAAGAAAGAAUGUGUUUAUACCGUUUGUGAAUUUAGAGGACCAGCAGGUUCAUGUUCUUACUCAGGUAGUAUCUAGUAAAGGUUUUUUUAGGACCCAAUUAUCACAUUGGGCAUCUAUGAUAUCUACGCACAACUUGAGGGGAGUGUUGAUUUGAGUCCUAAAUUGUAAAUAUUCUAGGAGUCCUAUUUUAGAUAGGAUGAAGAUUUGUUUAAUUGUAAUCUCUGUUGUAUUUAGUUUUCAUAUCCUUGUAAUUAUAUUCCUUAUAGAAUAAGGCAAACAUGCGUGUCAGGGCUGACUUUGAGAAUUUGGGGGCCCUAUGCAAAAGUCAAUUGGAGGCCUUAAAAAGUACUUAAGAAAAAGUACUUAAGAAUUUUAUUUUUUUAUUUUUUUGUUUGAAAAAAUAAUUUUAGUUUUCAUUUGAGUUUCUUUAAAUUCUAAUAGCACAAACAAAUUUAACAAAUCAACAAGUGGAAAGGUAGCGUAUUGUUUUUCCUUAACUAUUUAGAGGGUAAAGAUUUGAAUUUUCAUGUUAUUAUGUAGAAUUUUUAUAUUAUUUUGUGGAAACUUAUGCAUUUAAUAAAAAUAAACUAAAAAAAAGGAUGGAGACAAGUUUCAAACCCAUCACCUAAGCCGAUGUAAAGAAGCUGUAAUACCACUUGCUCUUAUACUCACGUUUAUAAUAUUAUACACAUACUGCUAUAUAUACGUAUAUACAUGCAAAUUUGAAAAAUCGGGAACCUUCCGAUUUGGGGGCCCUGUGUGGUGCCAUCACUUGCACCCGCUCUGGACCGGCCCUGAUGCGUGUAUAUUGUAAACCUUAAAUAAUAAAUGAAGUAACGAAGUAUUUUAUCGUAUUUCUUCUCUUUGUACGCGUUUUGUUGUAAAUCACCUAGGUCUAAUCUACAUGGAGGGAGUUUUUAACUUGGGUGCAACGGGACAUGCACGCAGCCUUGACCUAACCAUAAAAAAGAAUUAAAAUUGCAGAGUAAAGUUCAAGUGGCUGAACAAUGGUGUCAUUUAAUUUGUCCUCUGCUCUUUGGAAAUUUCAUUAAUACCCAAAACUGCUCAAAUAGUUUAGUAAAUGAUGUGCUUUGGAUUAUCAGAAACCUUCAAUUGUGAGUGGAUCGAACUUGGAAGCGAACCCAUGGAAAUGGAAAGCUAUCUUGUGAUGAAGAAUCAGAAGCUGGAAGCCUCCGGUAUUCUCAGGAAAGCUCUUAUAAUCCCUGCCAGAAACAUCAAAUUCUUAACUUUCACAAUCCUCACCUCCCUUCCUCUCUUCUGUUUCCUGAUUUACUAUGAAUCCCAUCUCCAGAAAAUCAUGGUUGAAACCUUGAAAACCCUAAACCUGCCGCCGCGUGAGGCCGGCAUGAACCGCUACUUGACUUACUUCAGGUUGAGUUGGUCCAUUCCAGUUGAGGUAUCCAGAAAAUUGAACCGAGAUUUUCCCAAUGAGUUAUUUUAUCUGGGGUUUCUCUUUGUGGUGCCUCUUCAUCUCCUCCAUUUCGUAACUGCGAUUCCGAUCGUUUACUUGGGAUCUAAGAUACACACAGAAGAGAGUCCAGUGAUGACUAUAAGAGAAAUGGUGAAAAAAACCUUUGACAAAACAAGGCUGAAGGGAACUUUUGUAACAUUUUCUUAUGUCCUUGUGUUGUCAAGUUAUACUCUGCUAGGGCUGACAUGGCUAGGAAUAACCUACUAUGCUGUCUUCCGAAACUUCAAUGAUUUCGAUGCUUUGUUCUAUGCUGUACUGUGUUGGCCGGCAUUUGUAGGGGUUGUGGUAAUGUAUUUGGCAUGGAGUUCUGUGUGGAAUGUGAGUGUUGUGAUUUCGAUACUGGAUGGGGCGGGCGGAAUCAAGCCGUUUGGUCAGGCGAUAUAUUUGAGCAGCGGAUGUGAGUGGAAAGGGUUUAGUUUGAUGCUCAUUUUCUUUUUCUGGGAAAUAAGUUUGAGGUUGCCUUGCCUCUAUUCCGGCUGCUACAAAAGCAGGAAUUAUUUUGGUGGUAUUAUUGCACAGGUUUGCUUGUUCUGCUUUGGGAAUGUGCUGAAGUGGAUUGUCUGCAUGAUAUAUUUCUACGAUUGCAAGAAUCGCGCGGUGGAGAAGAAAUUGAAGAUGCAGGCUAAGAAGAGAGGUGAAAGCAAUGGAUGAAUAUUCUGGUUUCUUGUAGCUCAAUUUGUAACUUUCAUUUGGUGGUUUUAAUGAAUGUAUUACUUGGAAAUGAAAUUGUGAAGAUGUUGCAACCCUUCAUAUAAUACUAUUGCAGUUUGGAUGCAUCCUUCCAUCAAAUUAUAUGUCUUUCUCUUUUACCAUAUUGAUAAGAAUUUGACAUUUUGCGGCGCCAUUGCUAAGGCAACUGUAUUAUCUCAUCGGAAUUUCAAAGCGUCCAACAAUCUACCGAAACAAAACCAGUAACCACAUUGCUGUUACACUGAAUUAUGUAUUACUGCAUUGUUGUUACACAGGGUAAGAAUUGGUAAAUUUUGGUUCUUCCACAAAGUAGGCCGACCUUUUUUCGUUAUCUUUUGUGAGCCAAGAGACAAAGUCAAGGAUAUAACAAACCAAUGGCCCCCUUUACAUGUGAAAAUUAACAACUUUGGGGCCAUGGUAGUAAUGUUGUAAUUAGUCGAGAAACAAAUGGGGUUGUUUCAAGAAGAGUUAAAAGCGCUUUCUGACAAUUAAAAGCGCUUUCUGACAAUUAAAAGCGCUUCGAAAUUUGGCAGAAAAACUUACAUAGAAAUGUUUUUGGGAUACAGAGUACUUCCGAGUGGCCUUUUUAGGAAGCACUUGAAUUUUAAUAAAAUUCUCAAUGUAUUUGUAUCAAAAGCACUUUCAGAAAAGAAAAACAAAAGUUUAUGAACAUAAGCAAUUCCGAACGAGACUUAAAGUUUAAGUCAAGUCUACCCUUGGCUCUCCUUCAAAUAUUCAAUAGGCUGAAAUCAUCAAGAAAGACUUUUUCUGUUGAUGGUGGUUGGGGUGGACUUGAGUCUUGACUUGGACUUUUCCGCAUUGCUAAUUGCAUCAAGAAAGACUUCAAAGACUUCAUGGUCAUUUAGAAAUUCACGGUUGUAUAUGAAACCGUGUGGAUUGAGCUUGGAAGUGAAAGCAAUGGAAAGCAACCUGUUGGAGAACAAUUCAGAAAUAAACAGAACUUGAAAUUCACAAUUUUAUUUCACAAAAGGUACUUGCUAUACAGAAUGAAAAGUAUACAAUAAAUACAGAAAUUAAUAUAAGAAUGUCAACGGUACUAACUUGAUUACAGAAGGUAAAGGCUAGCGUAAAAGCUAUGUCAUUCGAACAGUAAUUCCAAGGCACACUCUUGUGCUUGUGGUUCUAUAACGUCUGCUCGACCAGGAUACAACUACCUAAUCCUAUAACCCGCACUGGAUUAUAGAAUUCUAGCGAAUUGCUUUGUGUGUUUACUCUCUCUGGAAAGUUUGUACGGAAGAAAAGAAAGAAGAAAAGAUGAUUCAUUUGGAUACCAUGGAUUGCAGAUAUAUAGGCUGUUUCACACCCUUUCAAAUACCAGUUCAGUGUAUUUGAAGGUUCACAACUCUUUUCUAAGAGCUGUGUCUUUUAAUCAAAACGUUUUUAAUUAAUAAUAAAUUAAUUAAAAACUUAAUCCGAAAAUUAAAAUUAAUGAAUCAGAUUAAUUUUAAAUUCCAAGGCACACUCUUGUGCUUGUGGUUCUAUAACGUCUGCUCGACCAGGAUACAAUUACCUAAUCCUAUAACCCGCACUAGAUUAUAGAAUUCUAGCGAAUUGCUUUGUGUGUUUACUCUCUCUAGAAAGUUUGUACGGAAGAAAAGAAAGAAGAAAAGAUGAUUCAUUUGGAUACCAUGGAUUGCAGAUAUAUAGGCUGUUUCACACCCUUUCAAAUACCAGUUUAGUGUAUUUGAAGGUUCACAACUCUUUUCUAAGAGCUGUGUCUUUAAUCAAAACGUUUUUUAAUUAAUAAUAAAUUAAUUAAAAACUUAAUCCGAAAAUUAAAAUUAAUGAAUCAGAUUAAUUUUAAAUUCCAAGGCACACUCUUGUGCUUGUGGUUCUAUAACGUCUGCUCGACCAGGAUACAACUACCUAAUCUUAUAACCCGCACUGGAUUAUAGAAUUCUAGCGAAUUGCUUUGUGUGUUUACUCUCUCUGGAAAGUUUGUACGGAAGAAAAGAAAGAAGAAAAGAUGAUUCAUUUGGAUACCAUGUGUUUGUACCAUACUUGACCAAUCCCGAAACUACUGAGCACCGGUUAACGUUAUACCGUCAAGGACCCAGAAGAGCUUCCCUUUAACCAGGAGGCCAAUCACAACGCGACACGUGUCGACAUCAGAAGCCAAUCACAGCGCGACACGUGUCAACAUCAGAAGCCAAUCACAACAUGACACGUGUCAAUGUUAGAACAAAACUAGAAACUCUCUUCUAUAAAUAGGGAUCAUUAUCCCACAAUAAUCUCUAAUGUCAUUUUGUACUAAACUAUUCACUAGAACUCACAAAAUGAGAGCUUGAACCUAUGUAUUUGUGUAAACCCUUCACAAUUAAUGAGAACUCCUCUACUCCGUGGACGUAGCCGAUCUGGAUGAACCACGUACAUCUUGUGUUUGCUUCCCUGUCCCUAUUCAUUUACGUACUUAUCUUCACUAGUGAUUGAAGCAACCAAGCGAAGGUCACAAACCUGACACUUUCUGUUGUACCAAAGUCCUCGCUGAUUUUGUGCAUCAACAUUUGGCGCCAUCUGUGGGAAAGACACUUACUCCCACUCUCUUCAGCUUUGUUAAGCUGGUUUCCACCACUCGUACACUUUCUUUUGGCCAAACAUCUCUCUCCAACAUGGGGAGCGAAAGAAGCCAUAGCACACAGAAUGACACCCCCAUUGGACCUAGUAUGAAUCAACGAAAGCAGGAAGGAAAUAGAGUUACUCUUCAAGCUAAAGUCGAUGAGUUAGAAGCUCAGAACAACAAGAUAAUGAUAAGGAACGAGGUCCUCCAGGAGCAGUAUGAAAAACUUUUCGAGAUGCUUCACGAGGCUAGGCAUGCUCAAGCACACAAGCUCGUCGCCCCUGCUGAGGUCAACAAUCAUCUGAAUGCCCCCCAACACGGAGGGUCACCGAUAUCCAACACGGACAUCCCUGAUAGGGAUCGAGCUACACAUCAAUGUGAUAAUCAACAUGAGACUUCUCUCAACCAAGAUGCUUCAACCCGAAGCAGAAGGAGUAGAGGAAAGCACCUCCUCACAGAAGGAGUGGAAUGAUCAAAAGCCGUCUAUCGCGAUUGUCGAGACUUCCUAAAGCAACGUCGAGAGAAUCCCAUCCACAUAAGCUCGAAGAUCAAUGACCCAAGAGUUUUUGAAAUACUCGGUCCUCUCCCACGACCCAGGCCAGCAGUUAAUCUAGGGAAUGGGCAACAAGUCCCAGAAGAACAUGAAGGUACAGGGGACUCGGAAAUGUUCCGACAUACUCACUCUAGGAGUCAGUGUGACGAGUCCAAGGAAAAAUCAUGCUAUCUUGAUCAAACUUUCCUACUUCCAAGAAGCGAUGGGGACUUACGGAAGAAAACUUCAGUGAUGCACGACUCCACUCAGGACCCCCUCGUCCUACAGCUCCUGGAAGAAGUAAACAAGUUGAAGGCUGAACGUCAAGCCGAGAUACCUGACUGGAACCAACCCAGGCUUGGCCCCCUCACAAGAAGGAUCCUCAACACCCCCCUCAAAGCGAAGACAAAGUAGAAGCUUGACUUACAACUCUAUACUGGAAGGGAAGACCCGAUUGAACACCUUAACCUCUUUGAGUCCACCAUGGUAUACUGGAGACACACCGAUGAAGAACGGUGCCUUCUCUUCCCCUCCACCCUCUCUGGCGGAGCUUUAAACUGGUAUUGCCGUCUUCCACCCGAGACGGUAGACUCAUUUGAAGAGUUGAGGAAGUUGUUUGUCUCUCAACACAUCUUCCAGACCGAUCGCUUGCAUUCCGCAAAUGACUUGUACACUAUUCGCCAGAAGCCGGACGAGUCAUUACGAAAGUAUGCUGGCCGCUUCAGCCAUGAGUAUUCCCGCUGCGCUGAGGCAAAUGACAAGACCGCCUUCAAGGCCUUCACGGCAGGCUUACGUGACUGUUUCUUCAAGUACAUGAUCAAUGCCAACACUUGGAAGACUUACUCUGAGGUGAUGGCACAAGCUUACAACCAUGCCUCUACCGAGGCAAGGACAUAUCAAGGGAAACCCCCUACAGUCACCCCUUAUCAGCAAGUAGGGAGUGGAGGCCAGAUCCAACCGAAUGAAAAGACCUCAACCUUCCAAAUGGUAGCAGCACACCCCCCGGCCUCAUUUAAUGCUUCGCCAAGUCAGCAGACAUAUCAAUCCCAGGGCAAAAGGAAAGAUUUCCAUCCUCACCAAUCUCAUUUUAAUAAAAAGAAUAAGGGGCACUAUCGCGAUAACUCAGUAUAUCGUCACAAUAACACCCAUCCCCAGGCAGUCAACACAGUGGGCCAAUCGCGUGUCAAGACAGGCCCUACCCCGAGGUAUGAGACAUACACACCUUUGAACGCUACAUGUGCGGCCAUCAACCCAGUAUAGCUUACCUGUUACCAAAGCCAAAGCCAAGGCAGCCAGAUUACAAGUCCACGAAGAACACGGGCGUGUUUUGCUGCUACCACGAGUAUAAUGGCCAUGACGGCGAGAAGUGCAUCAUCCUCCGUGAUCAUAUCGAAGCUUUGGCACGUGAAGGAAAAAUUAAUCAGUUCCUCCUUCACCCUCUAAGGGAUAACCGUAACCAACGCCAGGUGAAUGUGAUAUACUCCAUAAGCGGCGGCACACCCAUGUCUGAAUCUUCCAAUAGGGCCAUGAAAAACAAUGAACGAACUUUGAGACAUGGCCAUCAAGUGUUUCACGUGGAAGACAUCAGGGGAGGCAAGUAUCAAAAACCUAAUUGGGAUCCAAUAUGUUUCUACCCUGAGGAAGAAAGAGGUAUCAUCUACCCUCAUAACGAUCCGCUGAUUGUGGAGGCUCACAUAGCAAAUUUUGAUGUGAAACGAAUCCUGAUAGACACAGGUGCUUCAGUCAAUAUCAUGUUUGCUGAAGCUUUCAAGGCACUUAAUGUAGCUGAACACUUGCUCGAUCGCUCGAUUUCUCCUAUGAUAAGCUUCUCUCGCGAUAUCGUGCAACCUUUAGGGAGUAUACACUUACCCUUCACCAUUGGUACAAGCCCCUACACAGCUACUAUUACCACUAACUUCCUAGUGGUCAAUUGCCCGACGGCAUACAAUGUCAUCUUUGGGCGCACAUGCAUCAAUGAUCUCAAGGCCAUGGUAUCCACACAUAUGUUGUUGAUGAAGUUUCCAACCCCUUUCGGCAAUGGAUACAUCAGGGGAGAUCAACUUAGUGCUCGAUCAUGUUACAACACUUCAGUUAAGCAACAACACCUGCCUGUCCUCAAGGAGACCCUCUCUAUACAUAACCAGGUAGUAAAGACCAGUCCAGAUGAAGCCAACUCGGAUCUUCAUGAUGGCAACAGUCAACCCGACGACCCUCGAGAUGACUCAUUCACCCAGCAAGCACAACCCGCUGAAGAGUUAGAGAAUGUCUCUAUCUCCAAAGACCAUCCAGAUCGCAUGGUGAAGAUUGGCACCACUUUGUCACCACCUAUUCGGUUGUCGCUGAUCUCAUUUUUACAAGAGAACGCCGAGGUCUUCGCUUGGUCAUAUAAAGAUAUGCCGGGCAUCUCUCCCGAUAUCAUCUGUCACCACUUGAGUAUUGAUCCCAAGACCAAACCAGUAAAACAGAAGCGAAGAUCUUAUGAUGUUGAACGAUACGAGGCGAUGAAAGCAGAAGAUGAAAAACUCAAGAACAUAGGCUUCGUCCGUGAAGUUAAUUAGCCAACAUGGGUAGCAAAUGUUGUCCUUGUUAAGAAAAAUCCGACCAAGGAAAGUCUCCUGCUUCAAAAGGUCUUGUAGAGAAUGUGUGUCGACUACACCGACCUAAACAAAUGAUACCCGAAGGAUAGUUUCCCCAUUCCUCUCAUUGAUAGACUUAUAGACUCUACGGCAGGGUGUGAGCUCUUGAGCUUCAUGGACGCUUAUUCAGGAUACAACCAAAUCCUCAUGAACCCCUCAGACCAAGAACACACAACCUUCACUACUGACAAGGGACUAUAUUGCUACAAAGUCAUGCCUUUCGGCCUAAAGAAUGCAGGAGCAACUUAUCAGAGACUAGUCAAUUUAAUGUUCGCCGAACAGAUUAGGAAGAGCAUGGAAGUUUACGUUGAUGAUAUGCUAGUCAAGAGCAAACAUGCUGACCAACACAUCACCAACCUAUCUGAAACUUUCACCAUUCUAAAGAGGUAUCGAAUGAGGUUGAACCCCAACAAAUGUGCCUUCGGCGUGGGAUCUGGCAAAUUCUUAGGCUUUAUGAUUAGCCAACGAGGCAUUGAAGCUAACCCCGAAAAGAUCAAAGCAAUCCUUGACAUGAAAGAGCUAGUAACUUCAAAAGACAUCCAAAGCCUUACUGGCAAGGUGGCAGCCUUAACCAGAUUCAUCUCUAAGGCCACAGACAGAUGUGCUCCUUUCUUCAAAGCACUCAAGGGAAAUAAGAAGUACAUUACAUGGACGGAGGAAUGUGCCAAGGCAUUCAGGAACCUCAAAGAGUACAUGAGUAAAGCCCCUCUGCUCUCCAAACCAGAAGUUGGUGACACUCUCAUUAUCUAUCUAUCGGUCUCGGCUUCAGCAGUCAGUUCUGUUCUUAUCCGAAAGGACAGUGGUGUCGAACGGCUCGUCUACUACGCUAGCAAGGCCCUACAAGAUGCGGAGACACGAUACUCCAACAUUGAGAAAUUAGCUCUAGCAUUGGUCAUGUCUGCUCGAAAACUUCGCCCUUAUUUCCAAGCACACGCCAUCAUCGUGCUUACCAAUCACCCUCUUCAACAGAUACUCUAGAGUCCUGACAUGUCUGGGCGAAUGAUCAAAUGGACAAUAACAUUGGGUGAGUUUGACAUCUCCUACCAACCAAAACCAGCCGAAAAGGGUCAAGCAGUAGCAGAUUUCAUCGCCGACUUCACAUAUCCUGUUGACAUUGCUUCUACACCUGAAGCAAUAGCUUCAUUACCAUCGGAAGCUCAGAAGAUAGAAUCAACAACCCCAACAUAGAGUCUGUAUGUUGAUGGCUCAUCCAACCAACAGGGCUGCGGAGCAGGAUUAGUCUUCACUACCCUUGACAAAGUGGCGAUAGAAUACGCUAUUCGUUUCAAAUUCAAGGCAUCGAACAACGAGGCCGAAUACGAAGCCCUUCUAGCAGGCUUACGUUUGGCCAAGCAUCUUGGAGUUAAACAAAUUGAUAUCUUCAGUGACUCCCAAUUAGUGGUCAACCAAGUCACGAACAACUUUGAUGCUAAGGAUAGCUCCAUGGCAGCAUAUCUUGCGCAAACACGACUUUUGCUCAAGCACUUCCACUACCAGAUCACCCAAGUUCCUCGAGCGGCAAACAGUCAUGCAGACGCUUUGGCCCGCCUCGCCUCGGCAGUGGAAGACAAGAUUGGGAGAAAAUUCAUGUUGAAUUGUUGGCAGCACCAAGCACCAUGGUCGCGGAAGUGUGCAAUUUACAACAAGGAGAUAGUUGGAUCACCCCAAUUUAUAAAUUCCUUGCCCAUGGCACCCUCCCAAAUGACAAAGUCCAAGCUAAGCAUAUUCGAUACAAGUCUGCUCGCUACCUGAUCAUUAAUGACCAACUCUACAAGCGCGGUUUUACCCUACCAUACCUAAGAUGCCUUACACCUGCGGAGGCAGAAAUUGUCCUUCGGGAAAUACAUGAAGGAGUCUACGGAGAUCAUGCUGGGUCUCGAUCCCUAGCACACAAGACUUUUCGCCAAGGAUACUAUUGGCCAACACUCCACUAAGAUGCCAUCAGAAUAUCUCGCUCAUGUGAUAAGUGUCAACGCUACGCAACCAUCCCUCACUCCCCUCCCGAGCCACUCAUUCCUAUGAUCAGCCCUUGGCCCUUGGCCUAAUAGGGACUUGAUUUGAUCGGCCCAAUGCCUGCAGGGAAGGGCAAGGUCUGUUAUGCAAUCGUUGCAGUUGACUACUUCACAAAGUGGGCUGAAGUAGAACCCUUGGCAACCAUUACUGAGGAAAAAAUAGAAGACUUCGUAUGGAAGAACAUCCUCUGCAGAUUCGGCAUUCCCAAUGCGAUAGUCACGGACAAUGGGCGGCAGUUCAACAACAAGAACUUCAGGAUGUUCUGCUCUAAGUUCAACAUCAACUUAUGUUUUACCUCUCCAGCCCAUCCCCAGUCUAAUGGACAAGUCGAUGCCGUUAACAAAAUAAUCAAGCGCACUCUGAAAACUAGCUUGGACAAAGCUAAAGGUUGUUGGCCAGAAUUCGUACCCCAAGUUCUUUGGUCAUACCGCACUUCAUAUCGGACUUUCACAGGAGAAACUCCAUUCUCACUUGCUUUUGGUACAGAAGCAGUUGUCCCGGUUGAGCUUGAGCAAGCAACAUACCGAAUCCAAACUACAUGCAGAGUGAAAAUGACAACCAAUUCACCCUCAACCUGGAUCUAGUCGAGGAACACAGAAAUCAGGCUCACCUGAGGAAUGUCGCCUACAAGCAGCGCAUCUCCAACUACUACGACUCAAGGGUCAAACCUCGCUCCUUCAAAGUGGGAGAUUGGGUACUGAAGAAAAGAUUACUCUGUGAUAGAGUCCCGAGUGAAGGAACACUCAGUCCUAACUGGGAUGGACCGUUCGAGGUCGUCGGCAUCAGCCGCCUUGGCUCCUACAAGCUCAGAAGCUCCGACGGCAAGACCCUUGGCCAUCCAUGGAAUGCUGACCACUUGAAGUACUAUUACAAAUAGACUCACAUUGUACAAGUGUUAAGCUACAGCCGUUCGGCAUCCUAUGUAACAAAGACCAUUUGGUAUGAAUUCAAUAAAGAGGUGAUUUAGCCAACUCGGCCCUAAACUCUUUUACAUUCCGAGCAAUGAAACACUCAAGUGUUGAAGCUUCAACGUAAAUGUUUCCAAUACAAAACAAAAUCUAAGUAUGUGUCAAUAAGACUAUACAAAUGAUCUACAUCAUACAUUCCAACACAUUCAUACAUAAACAUCAUACAUUCCAAUACAUUCAUACAUAAACAUCAUACAUUCCAACACAUUCAUACAUAAACAUCAUACAUUCCAACACAUCCAUACAUAAGCCAACUGUGCUUCGAAAGGGUUCAACACACUUUGUGUCAUUCAACAUUUGCCACAAUGUGCCUCGACACCUUGCCUUUAUUCUCACCAACUAGGUGAUGAAGGAACUCACCUUCGUGCCACCAACUAGGUGAUGAAAUGUACAACCCGUACUCUAAUAUUAUUUGGAAACUUGCCACCCUUAUCACCAAUCAGGUGAAGAAGGAACUCAUCUUCAUGCCACCAACCAGGUGAUGAAAUGUACAACACGUACUCUCCUUCAUGCCACCAACCAGGUGAUGAAAUGUACAACGCGUACUCUCCUUCAUGUCACUAACCAGGUGAUGAAAUGUGAUGAAAGGUGAUUAAGGAAUUCACAUUCGUACCACCAACCAAGUGAUGAAAGAAACCCACCAUUCAUUCCACUAACCAGAAGACGAGUGGUACAACUUGUACAUGUGAACUCCUAGCAUUCACAAAUAAUCAAAAACCCUCAAGCUUUACAACUCAACUAGGGGAGCACUUAUGCCUAACAAGAGCUAUAGUCACCAACAAAGUCUUAUUGCAAGCCAACAAUGGCUUCAGGGCUUGGUAUACGAAGAUCAAGCUCUUCAGCCCUCUUGCAUCUGCUUCAAACAUUUCUCCUCUGUAACAAUGCAAACACUACAACUCAUAGAAAGCUUCACACGCUCUUGAUCAAGACUGUUCAAAACAAAUUCAAUUUAUAUGGUUCAUCCAAACCUUCGACUACUACAAGAUGUGGCUUGCAUCACAAUCUCUCACUCAACAAUGUGGAAGCAAAAUUUGUAUACGUUGUCUCUCCCACAUUUUCAAAUUUCUAGUUUUCCCAAAAAAAAAAAAAAAAAAAAAGAGGAAAUUGGAAAUUGGGAAAUUCAACAAAGCUUCAUCAAUGGAGGACAAAUAUCAAUCUCAAAAGCUUCGCACUAUCUUCAUCAAGAUAGUGUGAAGCAAAAUCAAUUUAUGGUGCCAACAAAAGCUUCAUCAAUGGAGGACAAAAAUAUCAAUCUCAAAAGCUUCACACUAUCUUCAUCAAGAUAGUGUGAAGCAAAAUCAAUUUAUGGUGCCAACAAAAGCUUCAUCAAUGGAGGACAAUAUUCAAUCUCAAAAGCUUCGCACUAUCUUCAUCAAGAUAGUGUGAAGCAAGAUCAAUUUAUGGUGCCAACAAAAGCUUCAUCAAUGGAGGACAAAUAUUAAUCUCAAAAGCUUCGCACUAUCUUCAUCAAGAUAGUGUGAAGCAAAAAUUCAUUUAAGUUCAACAAAAGUUUCAAACUAUAAAGCUUCAACAUUCAAAGCUUACACCUAAGACUUCAACACCAAAAGCUUCACUAUUGAAAAGCUUCAACCCCCAAAGCUUCACAAAGCUAGUCUAGUGUGAAGCUUCAACACCAAAGCUUCACCUACAAAGCUUUAAAAUUAAAUAAUAUUAUAUAUAUAUAUAUAUUAUUUUUAAUUUUUAUUUUUUCAGAAAUUCGAAAAUUCAAAAAUCCGGAAAUUUGAAAAUUAAAAAAAAAAAAAAUUGCCUAGGCCUCAUCUUCUUUGGGCCUAACAACUUUCAUAACAAAUAUAUAUGAAGAAGGAGUUUUGGGCUACCACUUAGAAAGGAAAUGCCUCAUUCGUCAACUCCCUCGACCAGAGACUUGGGGGACUCCUACCAUAUGAUAUUGCACCUUGAUACUCAGAAGUCUCACGACCACUUAGUGACUUGGAUUUUUCAAGUCUCCAAACGAGAAGUUUUCCUCACUCGGG
Molecule: long non-coding RNA, 46576 nt
Filed under: Malus domestica (apple)
Lineage: Eukaryota; Viridiplantae; Streptophyta; Magnoliopsida; Rosales; Rosaceae
Description: long non-coding RNA (MDOM_LNC011850)
Source: RNAcentral